GAAAAUAAUAAACUCCAAGGUCCCCUUCCAUCUUCAAUAUUCCAACUUCUCAAUCUUACCGGGCUCCUUUUAUCCUCAAAUAAUCUUAGUGGUGUCAUAGAGUUUCGCAUGUUCUCAAACCUUCCAAAUCUCAAAUAUCUUUACCUUUCAUAUAACAACCUAUCCUUAACAUCUAAUUCUACUUCUACUGUUAAUCAUAUAUUGCCUAAUCUUACAGACGUACUUUUGUCAUCUUGCAAUCUUAGUGAAUUCCCCCAGUUUUUAAAAGGGCUUAAAAGUUUGGAAAGCUUAGACCUCUCUUGCAACAAAAUUGAAGGCAAGAUUCCACAGUGGAUGCAAGAGGUGGGGAAUGUCUCUUUGACUUACUUCAACGUAUCUCACAACUCUUUGACAGAAGUUGAGCACUUUCCAUGGAAGAAUAUUGAAAGGCUUGACUUAAGCUCCAAUUUGAUCAGUGGAAAUCUUCCGAUUCCAGCUUCGACCAUCAGUGUCUUUUUUAUCUCAAAUAAUAGUUUCAAUGGAGAGGUCUCUUCUUUAAUAUGCAAUGCCAGUUCUCUUCGAAUUCUUGAUUUGUCCCACAAUAACUUGAGUGGACCAAUUCCGCAAUGUUUUGGAAAUUUGAGUGACAGCCUUGAAAUCUUGAAUCUGAAGAAGAACAAGUUCUAUGGGACGAUUCCUCCAAAAUUUGCAAAGGGAUGCCGAUUGACUAAUUUCAACUUAAAUGGAAAUCUGUUAGAAGGGCCAUUGACUCCAUCCAUCCUUAAUUGUAGGGGUCUGGAAGUGCUAGAUCUUGGUAACAACAAGAUCAAUGAUACAUUUCCUCAUUGGUUGGGAAGUCUUCCACAGCUACAAGUUCUUGUAUUGAAGUCAAAUCAUAUGCAUGGUUCCUUAUGUGUCAAUAGCUCUAAGUCUAGCCCUUUUUUCUCUAAAAUCCAAAUUUUUGACCUCUCAAGUAACUAUUUUUCUGGACCCCUACCAGUGAGAUACAUCAACAGCUUCAAGGCUAUCAUAAAUGUAGAGAAGAUUGGUAGUACAGUGUCGUACAUGGGGGUGAAUGAUGAUGGAGGUGACUUCUAUACCUAUUCCAUUGGAAUUGUCAUGAAAGGGAGAGAUAUGGAAUUGGUGAAAAUUUUCACCAUGUGGAUGAUCAUUGAUCUAUCAAACAAUCAGUUUGAAGGGGGUAUUCCAGAGGUUUUUGGGAAGCUUAACUUACUGAAAGGGCUCAACCUUUCUCAUAAUAACCUUAAUGGUGGUAUCCCCACCUUAAUAGGGAAUUUGACAAGUCUUGAAUGGUUGGACCUAUCUUCAAACAGGUUGUCUGGGACGAUUCCAAAUAGAUUGGCAGAUCUGCCAUUUCUUUCGUCCUUCAAUGUUUCUGAAAAUCAACUCCAUGGUCAGAUUCCUCAAGGCAAACAGUUCAACACAUUUGGAAAUGAUUCAUAUGAAGGAAACAAGGCAUUAUGUGGAUUUCCGGUCUCAAAAGGUUGCAACAUCAUUGAGCCAGCACCUCCAAAUGUGCUUGAAAAAGAUGGCUCAAAAUCAAACAUUACUUUUGGUUGGAAAGUGGUGUUGAUAGGUUAUGGAUGCGGAGUGGUGUUCGGAAUGUCCGUGGGAUAUGUUGUUUUCCAAACUGGUAAGCCGAAAUGGUUGGUGAAUUUGGUUGAAAUCCAACAUGAGAAGAAGCGAAGAAGAAAGUCAAAGGAUGGCAGUCGCAGCAAUGGACGAAGAAGAAUCUAGUUAGUGGAAAUGAUGUUCAAGUGUUGAUGUUGUAUCUUCAUAAUUUCUUGUUUUGAAGUCUGUCAAAUUUUUUUCCUAUCGUGAAAGGCUGCAUUGCCAUGCAUCUGUCUUUUUUAUUGUAACCAUUCAUCUAUAUUUCAUUGCAUUACGUAGUAUUUGUAAGGGUUUGUUUUAAAUGUAACAUUUUGUAUGGUUCAACUAUUUAUGUCUCUUUCAUGAGUUUCAUUUUUGAGUCUCAAUAAUCUCUGCAUUCAAGAUUUUGUCAGCUUAUUAAUUGGUGGAUCAAUAAUCUUCAUGCUCAUCUCAUCAUCUUUUUCUCGAGUUAAACACAGUCACUACUAUAAUAAUUUCUUCUGUGUGGAAAAUAAUUUGGCAUUCUGCAAAUUUCCACAAUGCUUGUGGAUUACCUCUGGUUGACGGCUAUACAUAUAAAGGAAGGAAACAAGACUAUGUCAAAAUUUCCAAAAAUCAGUCAUUCAUUUUUGAACAAUUAAACAUUCCUAUUCUAUUUUUCAAAAUUGUAAAUCCUCAAAUAAUGUAAAUUAGUCCUAAAACUCAAGUUUUGAAAUCUUUACAAUUUAACCCCUUAUAGUUUCAAACUUUACUAUUUUAUGCUCAACUUUCUAAAUCUUCAUAUUUCAUGAUCAUAUAAUUUAGUUAUUACAUCAAUAUUUCAGAUUUCACUACUCAAACCCUUACUUCAUUUUGGUCCUUACUUCAAUUUUUUCAAAUUAAAUCAAUUUUCAAUUUGACUGCAUUGAUGUGAAAUUGAGGGAGCACUAAACAAUGUUGAUGCGAGUUUAGGUAAAAUUGGUGGAUCCCAUCUCCUUAGUAAUUUCUUUAUGGAAGUAGCUGCUUUCACACUGCAAACUUGAAUAGUUUGUGGUGGACGAUGAUGAAUCAUUUGACAAUCAAACACAUAAUUUUUAAACACAAAAUUAACGAUAUUUUGAAAUCAUUAUUGAAAUUAUAAUCAAAAUUAAUACAUGUUCUUUUUAUUAGCUUAAGGUCGUAAAAACCCUUCAAAAUUUUCAAAAAAAAAAAAAAUUUAAGUCCCUCUUUUUUUUUUUCUAAUUUUUAAUAAAAGUAGGGGCUUAAUUGCUUUUUUUUUUUUAAGUUUGAGGGUCUUUUUGAUGCAUUUUGAAAGUUCAAGUACCCAAUUGAGUGCAAGAAGAAAGUAGGGGCUUAAUUGCUUUUUUUUAUGUAUUUUGAACGUUCAUGUACCCAAAUGAGUGCAUAAAAAAAACAGGGGUUUAGUUGCUAUUUUUGAAAAGGGUUUGAGGGCUUUUUGCACCCUUAAACCUCUUUUCUUUUUCUAAAUUUAAUUUAGAACCAACUUUGAGUAAAGACUUGGGAAAUUUAAUUAGCAAAAUUUCUUUCCAUGUAAAUAUUUCCCCUAUUUCUUGUUGGAAUUUAAAGCAAUACAAUAUUUUUGUAGCUAGUAACAGAAAACGACAGUCAAUUAAUUCCAAGCAAUACAAAAUAUCCAGUCUGGUGGAAAAUUUGUUUGUUAGAUUCUAUUAUUCAACUUUUAAGGCAUAAGUCUGAAUAUAGGGACUAAAUUUUUAAAGUGUUGUUUAUUUUAAAAUCUAUUAAUAUAUACACACUUAGGGACCAUAUAUAUAUAUAUCAUAUAUAUAUAUAUAUAUUCCAUUCUGGAUCUUUGUCGUGUUUUGUUGGUUGGCUCUGGCCUUGUUGUUGUUUCCACUGCCUGUGGUCUCUGUUUCUAAGUCAUAUGUGGCCUUGUUUGCUAGACCUUAGUUGCUCUUCACAUGUCUUGUAUUUUGUCAAGUUAAUUGAAAUGGAAAAUAAAAGUGUUGGCAUUACAGAUUAGAGUAAAAGGAAUUAGUGUUGAAGUUGGGGUUGUUCAAUUGUUGGAAUUCAUGUGUGUAUUUUUUUGAGUAUCUGGGUCUUUGUCGUGUUUUCUUGGUUGGCUAUGGCGGCCUUCUUGUUGUUCCCACUGUCUGUGGUAUUUGUUUCUAAGUCAUAUGUGGCCUUGUAUGCUAGACCUUAGUUGCUAAGUUAAAGGGAGUGAAUAGAGCACCAUAUUUCUUCUUCUGCGUGGAAAAUAAGUUGGCAUUAUGCCAAUUUCCACAUUCAUACAUAUAAAGGAAGCAAGAGCAAGUCAAUAUACUUUGUAAUCUCAUCAAUUCUUCUUCUUUCUUUAGGGAGUUCAAAUGAAAUACAAAUUUUUGGUAAAUCAACUCUUCAUUUUUAUGAAUAAAAAUUAUAUGGUAGAAAGGAAGUGGUGUUAAUAAUAAUAAUAAUAAUAAAAAGAUUAACAAUAGAACACUAAUAAAGCAAUUUAGUCUAUGAUCUGCACAAUAUAUUACUACAAAUGUACCGUACAGAAUAUUGAAAGAAAACUAAUAAAGAAGUUCGAAAUUUAAACAAUGUUCCGCAAAUUAUGUUUAUGAUCUGCUGUAAAUUGAUAUGUUAAAUCAACUCUUCAUUUUUAUGAAUAAAAAUUAUAUGGUAAAAAGGAAGUGGUGUUAAUAAUAAUAAUAAAGAUCAACAAUAGAAAACUAAUAAAGCAAUUUAGUCUAUGAUCUGCAUAAUAUAUUACUACAAAUGUACCGUACAGAAUAUUGAAAGAAAACUAAUAAAGAAAUCCGAAAUUUUAACAAGGUUCCGCAAAUUAUGUUUAUGAUAUGAUGUAAAUUGAUAUGUCAAAUUUUGUGGCAAGUAAUAGAAAAUGACAAAUUCCACAUUCAUACAUAUAAAGGAAGCAAGAUCAAGUCAAUAUACUUUGUAAUCUCAUCACUUCUUCUUCUUUCUUUAGGGAGUUCAAAUGAAAUACAAAAUUUUGGUAAAUCAACUCUUCAUUUUUAUGAAUAAAAAUUAUAUGGUAAAAGGAAGUCUUGUUAAUAAUAAUAAUAAGAUUAACAAUAGAAAACUAAUAAAACAAUUUAUCCAAAUAUCAAAAUAAAUAUUAACUUUUUCAGAAACCAAAAUUAUUUUCUAAAAAUUAUUUUUUAAAAACUAUUUUUAGUGAAACAAACUGAGUCUUAGCCCAUAUUGUAAAUUAUUUUGUGGGUCUGGAAUUCUUGUACAUUAUGCUGCAAAAGAGUGAAAUUUCCUUACAGCUAGUCGAUCAAGUUUGGUUGAAAUUGAAUGCAUUGAUGUGAAAUUGAGGGAGCCUAAACAAUGUUGAUGCGAGUUUAGGUAAAAUUAGUGGAUCCCAUCUCCUUAGUAAUUUCUUUAAGGAAGUAUCUGCUUUCACACUGUGUUGACAACUUCCCACAGAUCAAAGGCCUGCAGGUAAGUCUUCAUAUUUACCAGCCAUAUGUGAAAACCUUCUCCAUUGAAGACUGGUGGGACUGCUGGUGAAAAUCCUGAAGAAGCCAUCAGGUUUCUUGAUUUGAAGCAACAGGUCCACUAAGAAAAGGGCUCUAGAUACCAAUUGUUGGUGUAAAAGGGCAGAAGCAAACUGAUUUAAGCUUGCUUAUACAGCAAGCCUCGAGCCUUGUAGAAGAAACAAUCUCAGCAGAAAGCAAAAAUGAAGCUUGCAGUUGGAAAAACAAGAAAACAAGGAGAGAAUUUGAAUGAAAAACAAGCUGAGUUGUUCAUUAACAUUACAACAAGGCAUAUUGCCAUUACAUAUAUCAGUUAACUUGUCAAAUAAACAAGUAAUCACCUAAUCAAUUACCUAACACCACUAAUAUGCAUUGAAACUUACAAAAUUAGCUUGCAAACAUUACAUUGCUGAUAUUUCAGUCAAUCAACAUCAAAAUUACACCAAAACAUUCACCUGCUUAGUUCAAUGUGAACUAGAUUACAAAAUGAUUAAAAUACAACUAAAACAACAAGUGGUUCAGUAACUUGAAGCUUCAGCUGCUGCACACCAUGGCUCGAUUGCCUGCUGCCAUUUCUUCUUGCAUGGCCACCUUUGCAUGGGAACUAAACUCAACAUACACGAACUAAUGCAAAUAUGCUAGUGGUUUAUUUUCCACCUAUCUGAUUUUUUAAAAUGUUCUUCAGUUACACCAGUUGAUGCAAUCUAUUAUUACCUGCCUCGUUGCAAAAAGGUUAGGAAAUAAAUUCACCGACAAUCAUUGGGAACUAAGAAACUUCGCAGCAAAGCUAGUGGCAUCAAUAUGCAAAAGGUGAAGAUUCUUUUCUUUUGGACUUAUACAUGCAUAUUCGUUUUUAUGAAUUUCAGGUGUCUGAGUUUUUAGUUAUAAACUUGGAUCUAUUCUUCAAAUCAUGUGUAUAUCAUUUUUAUGCUAUUUCACACUUGCAAAACAAAUGGUGCGAGCGUGCAUGUUAUAUGCAGAAUACAUAGAUUAAUUACAUGUGGAUCAUUAAGCAUGCCUAUGUUUGACGAUUGUGUGUGGCUACCUUUUUUUACAUGAUCCAAUUUUCGAUAUGCUUUGCUUUUAGGUUGAAUGCGGAAAAGAUUAGAACUUAAUUUCCAGCAUAAUGAUUUGUCUUGGAUAUGCAGAUUUUACAUGCAUUUCUUACAAGUCAAUAUUUUAUAGAUUUGGGCAUGUUUAUCACAAUCUUCAGCCACGUGUGACAAGGACACUGCUCCACGCUUUUUUGGACCCAACGAAAACAUUUCCCCAGUAUUACGGAGCAAUUCAAGGGUUAGCAGCCCUUGGACCCAGUGUGGUAUAAUUCUAAUCUCAAAUAUUUACUAGCAACACAAUAAGAUACUUGUUUGUGGGAUCAAUUGGUCAAAGAUAUUGCAAUGAUAGCCAUCUUUUUAAGCCCAUUUCUUUCAGAAAACUGUUUUGUCACUCUUUUCUGCAAGAUCCGAAGAAAGAAAGAACAUGGAAAUCUUUAGUCCAAAAGUGUAAAUAUGCGGUUUCUCUAUAGCUAUCUUGAUUAUGGCAUCUGUAAAGUUUGUCUUUCAUAUGUUUGGCUAACGCUUCUUCAUCCAUAUGUAGGUUCGUUUACUUAUACUACCAAACCUUGAAGCGUAUUUGCAGCUUCAUGAACCUGAAAUAAAAAGACACGAGGCCUGGUGUUUUUAUGGGGCCCUGCUGGUAAGUUUAACAUCAAAUUUGGUACCAGUUUACGAGCAUCAUUUCAUUUAUUUGCUAUAGAACUAACAACACUGCAUAAAAUUUCCACUAAAAGCGUGCAGCUGGACUGUGCAUGUAUGAUCGGCUUAAAAUGUUCCCCAGUUUGCUAGCACCCCCAACUCGGCCCGUCUGGAAAAGCAACAACAAAGUUGCGACAAGUAUGAUUUCUUCGAACCAUCAUAUUUACACUUAAUCCACAGGUCUCUUCUCCCCCUUUACGAUUUUCCUUUUUCUGAUCAAUCAAGAUAAACGAAAAGCAAGCACGGACGCCUUGAUGCAGCAGCAACCACCUGCGAAGAAAAUAGCAACUGAGAGUGCAAUAGGUAUGAUGCCAAUAAAUUCCAUGCAAACUGAUUUACAAGGGGCAGUUAGCAGCUUUUCUACCACCGUAGGAGGUUCCAAUAUCGGUGUAUCAUCAAUGUCACGGCCGUUAUCAAACGAUAACAUGCUAGGAAGGGAGGUUGGGGGUCGAGUUUCAAGGACAUCAACCGUUCUAGCUCAGGCUUGGAAGGAAGACACAGACCCAGGGAACUUGUUAGCAUCAUUAUUUGAACUUUUUGGUGAAAGUAUGUAAUUAAAAUAAUAUAUUGGCUUAACCCUCCUAAAUUAUGUAUUUUUUUCCAUCUUGGGACCUAAAUUUUUUUGGGGUCAUAAGUGGUACCUAAACUACAUUUUUUCUCCUUCAAAUUAGUAUCUUCAUUAAUUAAACCGUUAAGUCUAUUUAAAAAAGAAAGACUCGAACAACAAAUUAAUACCUAAACAGUGCUCUUUUUCUCAAGGUACCUAAUUUUUAUUUUGGCCAUAAGUACUACUAAAACUAUUCUUCCGUUACUCAUUUUACACCAAAAUGUUAUAUCGGCUGAAAAGAUUCCAACAAAUAAUAGAUUGUAUGUUAUAUAAACUUUUAAAAAUAAUUAUUAUUUAAUUAAUUUUUUAUAUUUUUCUUUCUUAUUCCUUUCUAAUGUUUGGCAAUGCUGAUAAUGUUUGAAAUUGUCCCACUUGAGGUCAAAAUACUGGUGAUUAAUUUUGGUUUUGAAUUUCACCACCUACUUCUUUGACCUAAGGGGAUAGAAAAUGUUCUUUUAUCGAUCAAAACUAGUAUUUUCAAAAACAGAUUGAUUCAACUGGUUGGAUAGGAAAUCGGUCUGGAAAUAAGGGUUGAAUCGAUUGACUUGCGACCAAAAACAAAUCAGUUGAACUAAGUUAAAAAAACUGGUUGAACUAGUUCUCUCCAUUUAUAUAUAUAUAAAUAAUAAUAGUCUUUUUUUGUACUAUAUGUCAAUUUUUAAUUGGUUAAUUUUUUUUUUCAUAUAAACUGAACGGUUUGACUAAUGACGGAGGUACCAAAUUAUAGUCUAGGUACCAAUUCAUGGGUUAAGCCUAUUUCUACAAUAGACUUUUGACUAAUGGCGGUAGUAACUUGGGAAAAAAAAAGUAGUUUAUGUACCACUUGUGACAAAAAAUAAGUUUAGGUACUAUCAUGGGAAAAUGAGUAUAAUUUAGAUACUAAUUUAUGAGUUAAGCCUAAUAUAUUUGCCACAUCAUUUUUUGAAAAUAACAGAACUUAAUAAAUUUAACGGUUAUUAUUUGAUGAUGACUAAAAUUUUUAAAUUUGAAAAGUACAUGAACUAAAAAUGACCAAAUUAAAGUAUAAAGAUUAAGUCCACAACUUUUGCAAAGUACAAGGACUAAUAGCAGAAAUUAACCUAAAUUUCAUAUGGGUCAAUUACAAUAAUAAUCACUAAACUAUUCCUUUGGUUCUAUUCUAGUCACUCAACUAUAGAGCUGCUCAUGAGCCGGGCCAGGUUAGGCCUAAGCAUGAUAUUAACGUACUUUAUGCUUGCUCAAGCUUGGCUCGGCCCGAAAUAUGAGCUUAAAAUUUCGCCUAAACUCAUCAAUAUUUGCAAAAGACUAACCCAAGCUCAUUUUAGGCAUGCCCAUAUAAUUUUUAGUUUUUUUUUUUUAAAUAUUUAUAUUAUAUUAUUUUAAGAAUUAAUAAUUUGAACUAUAGUAUUAUUAUAUAUUUAGUAUAAGUUUAUUUUUUAAUCUGUUCUAAAUUAUAUAAUAUAAAAUAUUAUACACUUAAAAACGGGCCGGGCUGGGCUCGAGCUUUAAAUGUUCAAGUCUUAACCCGGCCCAUAUUUUAAACGGGCUUAAUUUUUUUACCAAAACCCAAUUUUCGGGCCUAAUUUUUUUACUCAGACCCUCCCAAAUUUUGGGCUGCCCUUGGGCUUUGGCAAGUAGCCCAACUCAUGAACAAGUUUACUCAACUAUUAAUUUUUUCGAUUUAGUUGUUAACCUUUUCGAAAGUAAAUAUUUUAGUCAUUCUCCUAUUAGUUGUUGUUAAACGAGUGACGGAAAGCUGAUGUGGGCUUUUUUUAUUAGUCUAAUAACAAAUUUAGCCCUCCAAUGUUUACACAUUCUAUCAAUUUGAUCCUAGAUAUAAAAAAAUCAACAAAUUUAGCCCUGAAUGUUAACAAAACUUGUCAUUUUAGUUCAAAUUCUAAAAAAUUUAAUAAAUUUAACCCUUAAUAUUUUCAAAAAUUAGCAAUUUAGUUCUAAUUCUAAAAAUUUUAAUAUAUAUAUUUAAAAAAAUAUUUUUAAUCAUCUGUCUCACCCUUUGAUUUUUUAGAUGAGCUAAAAUCAAAAUGAGAUAAAAAAAAAUAAAAAGUUAAAAUGACUUUUCGUUUGUAAAGUUAAAAAAUGCUAAAUAAAUCAUUAUGUCUUUUUAGUUUUAAUUUUUUACUUGAUUAAAAGAGAAAUAAUUAACAAAUGAAAAAUAAUUAUUUCUAUAUAAAUUUAUCAAAAUUUAUAACAAAUGAUAUUUUAGAUUUGAAUUAUCAGACUAUAUAUAUAUAAGUAUACACAUUUUUAUGAAAUAAAAGAUUUUGCUAAAAGAAAAAGCAUCCAAUUUUAAGAAUGAAAAAUAUAUGGUAAAAGCAUCCAUAACUUUUCAAUGUUAAAGACAAAAAAGACUGUAACACCAAUGUUGUGGUAUUAUUUGUUGCCUAUAAAUACCAUUCCUAUCCUUCUUCUUCCUCUACCAACAUAACAUGGCCUCCUAUCUCUUUCUCUCCCUAUUCCUCUUCUUUCUCCAUCUUUAUGCUUCUUUUUCUUCUUCAGGAUCUCACUCCUGCUCUUCACUAAUCCAGUUUAAGGACUCCUUUUCCAUAAGAGAGGAUGCUUCUUUUGAUCAUUGCGAUUAUUUUGCUGGCCUUAAAUCUUAUCCCAAGACAAAUUCAUGGAAGGAGGGUACAGAUUGCUGCUCAUGGGAUGGGGUCACUUGUGACCACCUAAAUGCUCAUGUUAUUGCCCUUGACUUGAGCUGCAGUUGGCUAUAUGGCACCUUCCCUUCCAAUACCACUCUCUUCCUUCUUCCUCACCUUCAAAAACUCAACCUUGCCUACAAUGAUUUUAAUUCUUCCAAAAUUCCAUCCGAGUUCGGUCGGUUUACAAGCCUAUUCUACCUCAACCUUUCCAAUACAUGGUUUUCAGAAGUCCCAUCCCAAGUCUCCCACCUGUCAAAAUUGGUUUCACUUGAUCUUUCUGGGUUUGAUGAACUAUUAACAAUUGACAAAUAUGCUCUGGAGGGUCUUGUUCACAACCUAACCGAGGUCAGACGUCUGUUUUUGGAUGAAAUGGACAUGUCUUCAGUUAAUGCUCAUGUCUUCAUGAAUCUAUCCUCUUCUCUAAGGUCUCUCAGUCUUGUUGGUUGUGAUUUGCAAGGAAAAUUCCCAAAAAACAUUUUUGAUUUGCCAAACCUCAAUCUCCUCAACUUGGGAGGCAACCAAAACCUCAAUCUUGAUCCUUUGAAGUUCAAUCGGAGCAGCAAUCUUGAACAAUUGAUAAUUUCAGACGCAAAUAUUUGUGGAGGAUUGCCUGACUCGAUGGGGAAUCUUGUGUCCUUGAAGUUUUUAGUUCUCUCCCAUUCCAACUUAUCAGGACUGGUUCCAAGAUCACUGGGGAAUCUCUUGAAACUCACUCAUUUAGACUUGUCGGAGAACCAAUUGAGUGGACAAAUUCCAAGAAAAUUGGGGAACCUCUUGCAACUCACUCAUUUAGACUUGUCGAAGAACCAAUUGAGUGGACAAAUUCCAAGAUCAUUAGGGAACCUCUUGCAACUCACUCAUUUAGACUUGUGGCUGAACCAAUUGAGUGGACAGAUUCCAAGAUCAUUGGGGAACCUCUUGCAACUCACUGUUUUAGACUUGGGAUGGAACAAAUUGAGUGGACAAAUUCCAUUGUCAAUUCUAAACCUAACGCAGCUGGAAUACUUGACAAUAUCUAACAAUUCUUUAGAAGGUUCCAUUCCAGAUGAGGUAACCGCUUUUCAUAAUCUAAUAUAUUUAGACUUAUCUGACAAUUUACUCAAUGGAACACUGCCGUCAUGGUUGUAUACUGCUCCCUCCUUAAAGACAAUAUAUCUCUCUCAAAAUCAAUUCAGUGGGCAUAUCAAAGAAUUCCAAUCCAAAUCACUAGAAUGGAUAUGGUUAGAGAAUAAUAAACUCCAAGGUCCUCUUCCAUCUUCAAUAUUCCAACUUCUCAAUCUUACCCAACUUAGCUUAUCCUCAAAUUAUCUUAGUGGUGUCAUAGAGUUUCGCAUGUUCUCAAACCUUCCAAAUCUCGAAUAUCUUGACCUUUCAUAUAACAGCCUAUCCUUAACAUCUAAUACAACUUCUACUGUUAAUCUUACAAGCUUAUUUUUGUCAUCUUGCAAUCUUAGUGAAUUCCCCCAAUUUUUAAAAGGGCUUAAAAGUUUGGAAAGCUUAGACCUCUCUUGCAACAAAAUUGAAGGCAAGAUUCCACAGUGGAUGCGAGAGGUGGGGAAUGGCUCUUUGACUCACUUAAAUGUAUCUCACAACACUUUGACAGAAGUUGAGCACUUUCCAUGGAAGAAUAUUGAUGUUCUUGACUUAAGCUCCAAUUUGAUCAGUGGAAAUCUUCCGAUUCCAGCUUCGACCAUAAGAGUCUUUUUGAUCUCAAAUAAUAGUUUCAAUGGAGAGGUCUCUUCUUUAAUAUGCAAUGCCGCUUUUCUUGAAAUUCUUGAUUUGUCCCACAAUAACUUGAGUGGAACAAUUCCACAAUGUUUUGGAAAUUUGAGCAACAGCCUUCUAUUCUUGAAUCUGAAGAAGAACAAGUUUUAUGGGACGAUUCCUCCAGCAUUUGCAAAGGGAUGCCGAUUGAGUAAUUUCAACUUAAAUGGAAAUCUGUUAGAAGGGCCUUUGACACCAUCCAUGAUCCAUCCUUAAUUGUAAUGGUCUGGAAGUGCUAGAUCUUGGUAACAACAAGAUCAAUGAUACAUUUCCUCAUUGGUUGGGAAGUCUUCCACAGCUACAAGUUCUUGUAUUGAAGUCAAAUCAACUGCAUGGUUCCUUAUGUGUCAAUAGCUCCAAGUCUAUCCCUUUUUUCUCUAAAAUCCAAAUUUUUGAUCUCUCAAGUAAUUAUUUUUCUGGACCCCUACCAGUGAGAUACAUCAACAGCUUCAAGGCUAUCAUAAAUCUAGAGAAGAUUGGGAGUACAAUGUCGUACAUGGGGGUGUAUGCUCAGAGAGGUAGUGCCUUCUAUACCCAUUCCAUUGGAAUUGUUAUGAAAGGACAAGAUAGGGAAUUGGUGAAAAUUUUCACCAUGUGGAUGAUCAUUGAUCUAUCAAACAAUCAGUUUCAAGGGGGUAUUCCAAAGGUUAUUGUGAAGCUUAACUUGCUGAAAGGGCUCAACCUUUCUCAUAAUAACCUUAAUGGUGGUAUCCCCACCUCAAUAGGGAAUUUGACAAGUCUUGAAUGGUUAGACCUAUCUUCAAACAGUUUGUCUGGGACGAUUCCAAAUAGAUUGGCAGAUCUGCCAUUUCUUUCGUCCUUCAAUGUUUCUGAAAAUCAACUCCAUUGUCAGAUUCCUCAAGGCAAACAGUUCAACACAUUUGGAAAUGAUUCAUAUGAAGGAAACAAGGGAUUAUGUGGAUUUCCGGUCUCAAAAGGUUGCAACAUCAUUGAGCCAGCACCUCUAAAUGUGCUUGAAAAAGAUGGCUCAAAAUCAAACAUUACUUUUGGUUGGAAAGUGGUGUUGAUAGGUUAUGGAUGCGGAGUGGUGUUCGGAAUGUCCGUGGGAUAUGUUGUUUUCCAAACUGGUAAGCCGAAAUGGUUGGUGAAUUUGGUUGAAAUCCAACAUGAGAAGAAGCGAAGAAGAAAGUCAAAGGAUGGCAGUCGCAGCAAUGGAUGAAGAAGGAUCUAGUUAGUGGAAAUGAUGUUCAAGUGUUGAUGUUGUAUCUUCAUAAUUUCUUGUUUUGAAGUCUUUCAAUUUUUUUCCUAUGGUGAAAGGUUGCAUUGCCAUGCAUCUGUCUUUACUUUUGUAACAAUUCAUCUGUCAUAAUAUUAUAGAUUUUAUUGAUUUUAAUUUUUUCUCUAAUUUUUAAUAAAAAUAGGGGCAUAAUUGCUUUUUUUUUUUAAGUUUGAGAGUAUUUUUUAUGCAUUUUGAAAGUUCAAGUACCAAAUUGAGUGCAAAAAAAAAAAGAGUAGGGGCUUAAUUACUUUUUUUGAAAAUGUUUGAGAGCUUUUUUGAUGUAUCAAAUGAAAUACAAAUUUUGAGUAAAUCAACUAUUCAUUUUUAUGAAUAAAAAUUAUAUGGUAAAAAGGAAGUAGUGUUAAUAAUAAUAAAAAAGAUCAACAAUAGAAAACUAAUAAAGCAAUUUAGCCUAUGAUCUGCGCAAUAUAUUACUACAAAUGUACUGUACAAAAUAUUGAAGAAAACUAAUAAAGAAAUCUGAAAUUUUAACAAGUUCCGCAAAUAAUGUUUAUGAUUUGCUGUAAAUUGAUAUGUCAAAUUAGGCUCUCCAUCACACUUAAAAGUUUAUUUUCGAGCAAUUUAGAUAUCUUUGUUGCGUUUUUAUUUUGUUUUAGUUGUUUAUAUUAAUAAAUGAUUAGUGUGCAUUUUGAUGCUAUUUUAAGACCUGAGAUGGCCAAAUGGCACCCGGGGAAUCUAAUGAGGUUGGUGAGUGAUGCAGAGAGCCCAUGGUGGCCCGGAAGGAACGAAAAUGUUACCUAGAAAGAGGGUAUCGCAUUUCAAAGCAUGAAAGUCGUAAUACCCAUAACAAUGUUAAAAACAAGGAAGAUUGAGCCAUCAACAAUGUUAUCGUGAUACCGGUCAUAAGAUAUCGCGAUACCCAAAACUUCCAAGGAUCCCCCAAGACUGUUGUGGAUAUCGCGAUACCAAACUUUGGGUAUCGCAAUAUCAUUGAUGAGAGGAGACAAAAUAUAACUGUAGGGGUAAUCCUUUUCCAACAUGUGGAAUGGCCAUGGGAUGUGUUGUUUUCCAAACCGGUAAGGCGAAAAGGUUCGUGAAUUUGGCUGAAGACCAACAUGAGAAGAGGCGAAGAAGAAAGCCAAAAUAUAGCAAUCGCAUCAAUGGAUGAAGAAGGAUCUAGUUGGUUCAAAUGAAGUUAAAGCAUUUGUGCUGUGUCUUCAUAAUUUCUUGUUUAGUAGUCUGUCAGAAAGUUUUUCCUAUGGUGAAAAGUUGCAUUGCUAUGUGUCUGUUUUUAUGAUUGUACCAAUUCCUCUGUAUUUCAUUGCAUUUCGUACUAUUUGUAAGGGUUUAGUUCAGUGUAACAUCUUGUAUGGUGCAACUAUGUAUGUCUUCUUUCUUGAAUUUCAACUUUUAGUAAACAUUAUACUGCUCACCAUAAAAAAAAUACAUGUAGAAUUACAAAAGAUUCAAUUAUUCAAGUUUGAGUUGCAUUUAUAAACAUGUGAUGAUGAGAAUUCAUGAACAAAAGGUAUGGUUUGAGCCCUUUUGCAAUAUGCGUUUAUGUUGCAUUUACCUAUAUAUCUAUCGACAAAUUUAAGAGUAAUAUUUACAAUAGCAUUGCAGAGUAACAUAUUUACGAUUGGAUUACACAGUCAAAAGAUUGCAGCAACGAUGAGAUUAAUCCAAUUACAGGAAUUGAUAUCCUAAAUGGCUUUUAGGUACGUAGCUUCAUUGACGGUACAAACUAGUUAAAAUUUCCAGAAUUCAUGUCUUUGUUUUCCCUCAAGUAAACGUAGUCAAUACUGCAAAUGGUGUGGAAGUAUUGUACAUUGUGGCCCAAAUGUCCAAAAUUUCCACAUUGCUUGUAAAUUAAGUGAUGAAAACCAAAACUGUUUGAGGCAUCCAAUUACCCACAGAGAUAGGAAGUAAGGACGCAUGUAUAAUUAUUAUCAUUAAUUAAAGCAUAUAUAAUUACAUUAAAUAUAGGAUAAACUAUAAAAAUAAUCACUUUUAUUUACCUCAUAUUACAUUUUAGUCACUUAUGUUUGAAAUGUUACAUUUUGGUCACUUACGUUAUCGUUUUGGUACGAAGUGGUCACUCUACCGUUAAGCUCCGUUACCUCCCUAACGGCGAUUCUACGUGAUAGUCCAAAUGAGUUUUAAAUGCCAACUUAAAUGUCUUGCGUGGCUGUCUAAAUUAAAUUUAUUUAAUUAAAAACUUAUUUUCAUCUCAACAACCGGACAUUCAAGUUCGCAUUUAAAACCCAUUUAGACUGCCACGUAGGACUGCCGAUAGGGAGGUAACAGAGUUUGAUAGUAGAGUAACCACUUCAUAACAAAACGAUAAUGUAAGUGGCUAAAACAUAACAUUUCAAACAUAAGUAAUUAAAAUAUAAUAUAAGGUAAACAAGCCUUAAAUAUAUAAAUUACUAUGAUUACUAUCAAGAUAGCAUUGACCUGUUCAACAGGCGGAACCAAUAGAUCUGACCAUUUGGUGACUCUAGCAGUCGAUAAGUGUGAGUGGCAGACUGUGCAACUUGUAACUAUGUUAAUUGAUGAAAAGCUUUUUGAUAGAAGAUAAUAAACUAGUGGCAAUGGCAAACGGUUCCAAGACGAGGUGGGACACCGAGGCUUUGUGUAACAGGGGAAUAGAUGCACUCAAUGCUGGCGGCUGUUGACUUGUAUUUCUCUCUAACAAUUUAAAUCACCAGCUUGCUUCAUCCAUCUAUAAAUAAGGGUCUUCUUCAGUUUCAUAAAUGCAUAGAAAAUUAACAAGCUCAAAUUCCUUCUUUUCAUAUUCAUCUCUUUUACUUUGAAUUGCAACUUUAUCCUGCCUAAAUUCCUCAACCAUGAACCACCCAUCAGGACAGCCUCAAAAUGAACUUCCUUGGUCCGCCGGAUUCUGCGAUUGUUGCUCUGACCUGAAAACUUGUAACCCUUUCUUCUUUCUUCAAUAUCAGUUCUGUCUUUUUAAUUAUAUGAAUUAGUUUAUCAAUUAAAUAUAUGGACAUUUCAGGUUGCAUUUCAUACUGGUGCCCAUCCAUCACCUUUGGCCAGAUUGCUGAGAUUGUUGAUAAAGGGUCGACUUGUAAGUUAUUAAUUUCUAAAUUGAAAUCUUAUCAUCUUAGGUUUUGCAGACAUAUAUAUAUUUAAAGAGAUAUUAUGUAAUUAAUAAUAAUGUUGAAAAACACUGUUGGAUGGUGCAGCAUGUCGGGCAAGUAGGGCACUAUACACAUUAAUAAUGUUCAUCACCGGGUGUGGGUGCUUAUAUUCUGGCUGCUACCGAUGCAAACUGAGAAAGCAGUAUAACUUGAAAGGAGGCGAUUGUGGCGAUUGCAUGCGUCAUUUCUGCUGCGAGCCUUGUGCCUUGACACAAGAGUAUCGUGAGCUCCAGAACCGUGGAUUCGACAUGUCUAUCGGUAUGUCUACAUACCAAUAUUAUACCCCUUUUAAUUAUUCUUAAUAUAACUUCAAGUAUAUUAAUUGAGUAGCUGUAAACAAAUAUCUCCGAAUAAAUAUGUUGGUAAUGAUGAGAUAAAUUAUUGUUUGAGGUCAUUAAUUUUGUGGGGGUAUAUUUAUAUAUGCAGGUUGGCAUGCAAAUGUGGAGAAGAACCCAGGGCUGGCAAUGGCUCCAGCGGUAGAAAAAGGCAUGAGCAAAUAGAUGAUGAUGAUGAUGAGACCACUGCAUUAAUAUCAUCUUUACAUGUAACACUUAAUUCCUUGGCUUUCCAUAAUUGGUUGAUUGUACGGCUUGCCAAUUGAAUUUCAAGUUAUGUAUGUUUGUGAUUGUCAAAUAUAUUAAUAAAAAGUGUUACUAUUCAUGUUAGAUCUUCAUGAAUAAGAAUGAGAAUCGAAAAUAACUUGUAAUAUUGUGUGUGCAUGUUUGGUAUUUAGGUGAAAUACUUAGAAAGAGAGGUUGGAUUAAAUUAAUUUUUUAUUAUCAAAAUGGAUGAUUUUAAUUUUUAUAUUAAUAAAAAGAAUUAAAUAAAAUUAAUAUUUAUUGUUUUAGAAAAUGACAUCAAAUUAUUGUUUUUUAUAGUUCAAUCCAAAUAAAAUAUCUACAAAAUCAUUAAAAACUUUUAAAAUGUGACUUUGUUAAAUAGUAAAUAGCAUUUUUUUAAAAGGGUUCAUAUAUAUCGUGAUACCUAAAGUUGGCAACUUCUACUUAGUAUCUAAAUCGGUACAUAAACUUGAAAAUUGUAAGUCAACUUCGUAUUUUUAUAAGUAUGAUGAUGUUGGUGUAGUGUGAGGAAGAAGACUUGAAUGGGUUUGAUUAUUUUUAAUAAUACAGGAAUUUACAUAUUAUAAGUAAAUAGACACUCACAUUCUUUAUGUAUUAUAAGGAAGAAGACUAAGUCGAUCUACUUUGUAAUCUCAUCAAUCUUAAUUUUCUCAAUUGUUAAGGGAGUUCAAAUGAAAUACAAAAUUUUGGUAAAAAAAAGUAUCCAAUUUUGUGAAUAAAAAAUAUAUGGUAAAAAAGAUUUGGUAUCGAUACUUCGGCGCGGGUAUCAAUACUCGAUACAUUGCUUUUGGUUGGAAAGUAGUGUCUGGAACGGCCAUGGGAUGUGUUGUUUUCCAAACCGGUAAGGCGAAAAGGUUUGUGAAUUUGGUUGAAGACCAACAUGAGAAGAGGCGAAGAAGAAAACCAAAAUAUAGCAAUCGCAUCAAUGGAUGAAGAAGGAUCUAGUUGGUGCAAAUGAAGUUAAAGCAUUUGUGCUGUGUCUUCAUAAUUUCUUGUUUAGUAGUCUGUCAGAAAGUUUUUCCUAUGGUGAAAAGUUGCAUUGGUAUGUGUCUGUCUUUAUGAUUGUACCAAUUCCUCUGUAUUUCAUUGCAUUUCGUACUAUUUGUAAGGGUUUAGUUCGAGUGUAACAUCUUGUAUGGUGCAACUAUGUAUGUCUUCUUUCUUGAUUAUUGAAAUUAUAAUCAAAAUUAAUACAUGUUCUUUUUAUUAGCUUAAGGGCGUAAAAACACUUCAAAAUUUUCAAAAAAUAAAAUAAAAUUUUAAGUCCCUCUUUUUUUUACACUCAAUUGAAAUUUUUAAAAUGUAUCAAAAAUAUCUUUACAGUUCUUCAAAAAAAAAAACAAUUAAACCCCUAUUUUUUUUCCGCUCAAUUGGGUACUUGAACUUUCAUAAUGCAUCAAAAAUGCCUUAAAUUUUUUUCAAAAAAGCAAUUAAGCCCCUACUCUUAUUAAAAAUUAGAAAAAAAUCAUAAAAAUAAUAAAUUUUAGAAAAAAUUAUUAAAUUUUAAUAAAAAUUUAAAAUUUUAUUAAAAAUUAGAAUUUUUUUUUAGAAAAAUCGUCAAAAAAUAAAAAAUUAUAAAAUCCAUCAAAAAGUUUUAACAAUUAACUUUAACUAUUGAUCGUUAAAGUUAACGACCUCUAGUUUUUUCAAUUAAAGUCAUUAUGUGUCGCAACUCAACGUGACAUGUAGCGAAAAUAGAUAAAAAAGUAAAAAUCAAUAAAAGUUAUAGAAAAAUUAUAAAAUAUUUCUUUUGGUAGAAUAAUUUUUAUAAAUUUUUUUUACAAAAUUUAUAUUUCUUUACAUUUUGUAUAAUUUUCUUAUAACUUUAUAAAAUUUUAUAAAUUUUUAUAUUUCUAUAUAUUUUAAAAUUUUUUAAAAUUUUUAUAAAAUUUUACAAUUUUUAUAUAUUUUUAAUAAAUUUUUAAUAUUUGAUUUUUUAUUAAAAUUUAAUAAUAUUAUAGAUUUUAUUGAUUUUAAUUUUUUAUCUAAUUUUUAAUAAAAUUAGGGGGUUAAUUGCUUUUUUUUUAAGUUUGAGGGUCUUUUUGAUGCAUUUUGAAAGUUCAAGUACCCAAUUGACUGCAAAACAAAAAGAAAAAAAGUAGGGGCUUAAUUGCUUUUUUUGAAAAUGUUUGAGGGCUUUUUUGAUGUAUUUUGAAAGUUCAAGUACCCAAAUGAGUGCAUAAAAAGAACAGGGGUUUAGUUGCUAUUUUGAAAAAGUUUGAGGGCUUUUUGCACCUUUAAACCUCUUUUCUUUUUCUAAAUUUAAUUUAGAACCAACUUUGUGUAAAGACUUGGGAAAUUUAAUUAGCAAAAUUUCUUUCCAUGUAAAAAUUUCCCCUAUUUCUUGUUUGAAUUUAAAGCAAUACAAUAUUUUUCUAGCAAAUAAUAGAAAAUGACAGUCAAUUAAUUCCAGCAAUACAACAUUUCCAGUCUGGUGGAAAACAGCUAGGGACCAAAUUUUUAAAGUGUUGUUUACUACACACUUAGGGACCAUAUAUGUAUAUAUAUAUAUUCCAGUCUGGGUCUUUGUCGUGUUUUGUUGGUUGGCUAUGGCCUUCUUGUUGUUUCAUGGCCACUGCCCGUGAAUUAAGUCAUAUGUGGCCUUGUUUGCUAGACCUUAGUUGCUAAGUUAAAGGGAGUGAAUAGAGCACCAUAUUUCUUCUUCUGCGUGGAAAAUAAGUUGGCAUUAUGCCAAAUUCCACAUUCAUACAUAGAAAGGAAGCAAGGCCAAGUCAUUAUACUUUGUAAUCUCAUCAAUUCUAAUUAUUUCACUUCUUCAUUCUUUAGGGAGUUCAAGUGAAAUACAAAUUUUUCCACAUCCAAUCUCAUAAAUAAUCCGUCUUUGAACUUUCACAAAAAAAUAUUAAAUACCCAUUCACUUUAAUUCUACUAUUCUUAAAUCAUUCAAGUUUUGUGGAAAAUAUGCUUCUUGGAUAAAAUUAUUCAACACACAUGCCUUGAAUUUUAUGCAAUAAAAUAAAUCAAUAUAGGCCACACAUGCUUUGAAUAUUUAAGUAGUCCACAAUUUUGUUCGUUUGUGUGCAAAAUUCUACAUUGCUUGACAGCCAUACAUUCUAAGUAAAUAGACACCCACAUUGUUUACGUAUUAUGAAGAAGAAGACUAAGUCAGUCUACUUUGUAAUCUCAUCAAUCUUAAUUUUCUCAGUUAUUUAGGGAGUUCAAAUGAAAUACAAAAUUUUGGGAAAAAAAAUGUAUCCAAUUUUGUGAAUGAAAAAUAUAUGGUAAAAAGGAUUUGGUAUGGAUACUUCGGCUCGGGUAUCAAUACUCAGGGUAAGUUUAUCGAUACAUUGCUUUUGGUUGGAAAGUGGUGUUGAUAGGUGAUGACUAAAAUUUGAUAAAUUUGAAAAGUACAUGAAAUUUAACGAUUAUUGUUUGGUGAUGACUAAAAUUUUAAAAUUUGAAAAGUACAUGAACUAAAAAUGACCAAAUUAAAGUAUAAAGAUUAAGUCCACAACUUUUGCAAAGUACAAGGACUAAUAGCAGAAAUUAACCUAAAUUUCAUAUGGGUCAAUUACAAAAAUAAUCACUAAACUAUUCCUUUGGUUCUAUUCUAGUCACUCAACUAUAGAGGUGCUCAUGGGCUGAGCCAGGUCAAGCCUAAGUAUGAUAUUAAUGUAUUUUAUACUUGCUCAAGCUUGGCUCGGCCUGAAAUAUGAGCUUAAAAUUUUGCCUGAACUCAUCCAUAUUUGCAAAAGACUAACCCAAGCUCAUUUUAAGCAUGCCUAUAUAAUUUUUAAUUUUUUUUAAAUAUUUAUAUUAUAUUAUAUUAAUUAAUAAUUUAAACAUUUUUUAUUUAUUAAAAUUUUUUAUAGUCAUUUUAACAUUAUUUUAAUGUUUACAUUAUAGUAUUAUUAUAUAUUUAGUAUAAGUAUUUUUUUAAUAUGUUCUAAUUUAUAUAAUAUAAAGUAUUAUACACUUAAAAACGGGCCGGGCUGGGCUUGAGCUUUAGUUGUUACUCAACUAUUAAUUUUUUCGAUUUAGUUGUUAACCUUUUCAAAAGUAAAUAUUUUAGUCAGUCUCCUAUUAGUUGUUGUUAAAUGAGUGACGGAAAGCUAAUGUGAGCUUUUUUUAUUAGUCUAAUAACAAAUUUAGCCCUCCAAUGUUUACACAUUCUAUCAAUUUGAUCGUAAAUAUAAAAAAAAAAUCAACAAAUUUAGCCCUGAAUAUUAACAAAACUUGUCAUUUUAGUUCAAAUUCUAAAAAAUUUAAUAAAUUUAACCUUUAAUAUUUUCAAAAAAAUAGCAAUUUAGUUCUAAUUCUAAAAAUUUUAAUAUAUAUAUUUAAAAAAAUAUUUCUAAUCCUCUGUCUCACCCUUUGAUUUUUUAGAUGAGCUAAAAUCAAAAUAUAUCAUUAUGUCUUUUUGUUUUAAUGCUAAAAGAGAUAAAAAAAAAUGGAAAGCUAAAAUGGCUUUUCGUUUGUGAAGUUACAAAAUGCCAAAUAAAUUAUUAUGUCUUUUUAGUUUUAAUUUUUUACUUGAUUAAAAGAGAAAUAAUUAACGAAUGAAAAAUAAUUAUUCACAAAUAAAUUUAUCAGAAUUUAUAACAAAUGAGAUUUUAAAUUUGAAUUUAUAAAUCAAAAUUUAUAUAUAUAUAUAUAUAAAAGAAAACACAUUUUUAUGAAAUAUAAGAUUUUGUUAAAAGAAAGAGCAUAUAAAAGCAUACACGUUUUUAUGAAAUACAAGAUUUUGCUAAAAGAAAAAGCAUCCAAUUUUAAGAAUGAAAAAUAUAUGGUAAAAGCAUCCAUAACUUUUCAAUAUAAAAGAAAAAAAAGACUAACACCAAUGUUGUGGUAUUAUUUGUUGCCUAUAAAUACCAUUCCUAUCCUUCUUCUUCCUCUACAAACAUAACAUGGCCCCCUAUCUCUUUCUCUGCCUAUUCCUCUUCUUUCCCCAUCUUUAUGCUUCUUUUCUUCUUCAGAAUCUCACUCCUGCUCUUCACUAAUCCAGUUUAAGGACUCUUUUUCCAUCACAAAGGAUGCUUCCUGGUAUUUCGAUUAUAUUACUGGCCUUAAAUCUUAUCCCAAGACAAAUUCAUGGAAGGAGGGUACAGAUUGCUGCUCAUGGGAUGGGGUCACUUGUGACCACCUAAAUGCUCAUGUUAUUGCCCUUGACUUGAGCUGCAGUUGGCUAUAUGGCACCUUCCCUUCCAAUACCACUCUCUUCCUUCUUCCUCACCUUCAAAAACUCAACCUUGCCUACAAUCAUUUUAAUUCUUCCAAAAUUCCAUCCGAGUUCGGUCGGUUUACAAGCCUAUUCUACCUCAACCUUUCCAAUACAUGGUUUUCAGAAGUCCCAUCCCAAGUCUCCCACCUGUCAAAAUUGGUUUCACUUGAUCUCUCCUCUCGGAUUGAUUACUCUGGGCAAGUUACAAUUGACAAACAUGCUCUGGAGGGACUUGUUCACAACCUAACCGAGGUCAGACAUCUGUUUUUGGAUGGAAUCAACAUGACUUCUGUUAAUGCUCAUGUCUUCAUGAAUCUAUCCUCUUCUCUAAGGUCUCUCAGUCUUGCUUUUUGUGAUUUGCAAGGAAAAUUCCCAAAAAACAUUUUUGAUUUGCAAAACCUCAAUCUCCUCAACUUGAGAUACAACCAAUUGAGUGGACAAAUUCCAAGAUCAUUGGGGAACCUCUUGCAACUCACUCAUUUACACUUGUCGGGGAACCAAUUGAGUGGACAAAUUCCAUUGUCAAUUCUAAACCUAACGCAGUUGGAAUACUUGGAAAUAUCUGAAAAUUCUUUAGAAGGUUCCAUUCCAGAUGAGGUAACCGCUUUUCCUAAUCUAAUAUAUUUAUACUUAUCUGACAAUUUACUCAAUGGAACACUUCCGUCAUGGUUGUAUACUGCUCCCUGCUUAAAGGAAAUAUAUCUCUCUCAAAAUCAAUUCAGUGGGCAUAUCAAAGAAUUCCAAACCAAAUCACUAGAAUAUUUAUAUCUAGAAAAUAAUAAACUCCAAGGUCCCCUUCCAUCUUCAAUAUUCCAACUUCUCAAUCUUACCGGGCUCCUUUUAUCCUCAAAUAAUCUUAGUGGUGUCAUAGAGUUGAGCAUGUUCUCAAACCUUCCAAAUCUCAAAUAUCUUGACCUUUCAUAUAACAGCCUAUCCUUAAUAUCUAAUACUACUUCUACUGUUAAUCAUAUAUUGCCUAAUCUUACAGGCUUACAUUUGUCAUCUUGCAAUCUUAGUGAAUUCCCCCAGUUUUUAAAAGGGCUUAAAAGUUUGGAAAGCUUAGACCUCUCUUGCAACAAAAUUGAAGGCAAGAUUCCACAGUGGAUGCAAGAGGUGGGGAAUGUCUCUUUGACUUACUUCAACGUAUCUCACAACUCUUUGACAGAAGUUGAGCACUUUCCAUGGAAGAAUAUUGAAAGUCUUGACUUAAGCUCCAAUUUGAUCAGUGGAAAUCUUCCGAUUCCAGCUUCGACCAUCAAUGUCUUUCUGAUCUCAAAUAAUAGUUUCAAUGGAGAGGUCUCUUCUUUAAUCUGCAAUGCCAGUGAUCUUGAAAUUCUUGAUUUGUCCCACAAUAACUUGAGUGGAACAAUUCCGCAAUGUUUUGGAAAUUUGAGCAACAGCCUUGAAUUCUUGAAUCUGAAGAAGAACAAGUUCUAUGGGACGAUUCCUCCAAAAUUUGCAAAGGGAUGCCGAUUGACUAAUUUCAACUUAAAUGGAAAUCUGUUAGAAGGGCCAUUGACUCCAUCCAUCCUUAAUUGUAGGGGUCUGGAAGUGCUAGAUCUUGGUAACAACAAGAUCAAUGAUACAUUUCCUCAUUGGUUGGGAAGUCUUCCACAGCUACAAGUUCUUGUAUUGAAGUCAAAUCAUAUGCAUGGUUCCUUAUGUGUCAAUAGCUCCAAGUCUAGCCCUUUUUUCUCUAAAAUCCAAAUUUUUGAUCUCUCAAGUAAUUAUUUUUCUGGACCCCUACCAGUGAGAUACAUCAACAGCUUCAAGGCUAUCAUAAAUCUAGAGAAGAUUGGUAGUACAGUGUCGUACAUGGGGGUGAAUGAUGGCUUCUAUACCUAUUCCAUUGGAAUUGUUAUAAAAGGACAAUAUAUGGAAUUGGUGAAAAUUUUCACCAUGUGGAUGAUCAUUGAUCUAUCAAACAAUCAGUUUGAAGGGGGUAUUCCAGAGGUUUUUGGGAAGCUUAACUUACUGAAAGGGCUCAACCUUUCUCAUAAUAACCUUAAUGGUGGUAUCCCCACCUUAAUAGGGAAUUUGACAAGUCUUGAAUGGUUGGACCUAUCUUCAAACAGGUUGUCUGGGACGAUUCCAAAUAGAUUGGCAGAUCUGCCAUUUCUUUCGUCCUUCAAUGUUUCUGAAAAUCAACUCCAUGGUCAGAUUCCUCAAGGCAAACAGUUCAACACAUUUGGAAAUGAUUCAUAUGAAGGAAACAAGGCAUUAUGUGGAUUUCCGGUCUCAAAAGGUUGCAACAUCAUUGAGCCAGCACCUCCAAAUGUGCUUGAAAAAGAUGGCUCAAAAUCAAACAUUACUUUUGGUUGGAAAGUGGUGUUGAUAGGUUAUGGAUGCGGAGUGGUGUUCGGAAUGUCCGUGGGAUAUGUUGUUUUCCAAACUGGUAAGCCGAAAUGGUUGGUGAAUUUGGUUGAAAUCCAACAUGAGAAGAAGCGAAGAAGAAAGUCAAAGGAUGGCAGUCGCAGCAAUGGACGAAGAAGAAUCUAGUUAGUGGAAAUGAUGUUCAAGUGUUGAUGUUGUAUCUUCAUAAUUUCUUGUUUUGAAGUCUGUCAAAUUUUUUUCCUAUCGUGAAAGGCUGCAUUGCCAUGCAUCUGUCUUUUUUAUUGUAACCAUUCAUCUAUAUUUCAUUGCAUUACGUAGUAUUUGUAAGGGUUUGUUUUAAAUGUAACAUUUUGUAUGGUUCAACUAUUUAUGUCUCUUUCAUGAGUUUCAUUUUUGAGUCUCAAUAAUCUCUGCAUUCAAGAUUUUGUCAGCUUAUUAAUUGGUGGAUCAAUAAUCUUCAUGCUCAUCUCAUCAUCUUUUUCUCGAGUUAAACACAGUCACUACUAUAAUAAUUUCUUCUGUGUGGAAAAUAAUUUGGCAUUCUGCAAAUUUCCACAAUGCUUGUGGAUUACCUCUGGUUGACGGCUAUACAUAUAAAGGAAGGAAACAAGACUAUGUCAAAAUUUCCAAAAAUCAGUCAUUCAUUUUUGAACAAUUAAACAUUCGUAUUCUAUUUUUCAAAAUUGUAAAUCCUCAAAUAAUGUAAAUUAGUCCUAAAACUCAAGUUUUGAAAUCUUUACAAUUUAACCCCUUAUAGUUUCAAACUUUACUAUUUUAUGCUCAACUUUCUAAAUCUUCAUAUUUCAUGAUCAUAUAAUUUAGUUAUUACAUCAAUAUUUCAGAUUUCACUACUCAAACCCUUACUUCAUUUUGGUCCUUACUUCAAUUUUAUCAAAUUAAAUCAUUUUUCAAUUUGAAUGCAUUGAUGUGAAAUUAAGGGACCACUAAACAAUGUUGAUGCGAGUUUAGGCAAAAUUGGUGGAUCCCAUCUCCACAGCAAUUUCUUUAUGGAAGUACUUGCUUUCACACUGCAAACUUGGAUAGUUUGUGGUGGACGAUGAUGAAUCAUUUCACAAUCAAACACACCAUUUUUAAACACAUAUAUUGAAAUCAUUAUUAAAAUUAUAAUCAAAAUUAAUACAAGUUCUUUUUAUUAGCUUAAGGGCGUAAAAACUCUUCAAAAUUUUCCAAAUAAAAAAUAAAAAAUUUAAGUCCCUCUUUUUUUUUUACACUCAAUUGAGUACUUAAACUUUUAAAAUGUAUCAAAAAUAUCUUAACACUUCUUCAAAAAAAGCAAUUAAACCCCCUUUUUUUUCCGCUCAAUUGGGUACUUGAAUUUUCAUAAUGCAUCAAAAAUACCUUAAUUUUUUUUUCAAAGAAACAAUUAAGCCUCUAUUUUUUUCCUACUCAACUAGGUACUUGAACUGUCAAAAAAACAAUUAAGCACCUACUCUUAUUAAAAAUUAGAAAAAAAAUCAUAAAAAUAAGAAAAAUUUAGAAAAAAUUAUUAAAUUUUAAUAAAAAUUUAAAAACUUAUUAAAAAUUAGAAAAAAUUUUAGAAAAAUUGUCAAAAAAUAAAAAAUUAUAAAAUUUUAUAAUUAAGCACUCUUAAAAUUUUGAAAAUUCUCAUUAAUCUCACACAAAUUUAAAAUUUUUUAUUAGACCCCCAAUUUUUUUUAAAAAUGUUAUUAAACCCUUAAAUUUUUAGAAAAUUUUACCUGCCCCCUCCCAAAAAAAAAACUAGUCCCAACUCUUAGGAUCCGCCAUUGGUACUUGGUAUUAACACUAUUAGAAAAUUGCUAAAUCAACCAAUGAAAAUUUGACACAUGGAACCCUUUUUUUAAAUUAUCAAGUUACGGAUGUUCUUCAAGGGCAUGGAACUCAACUUGAAAAUUUUACUAAUUUGGUUGCAAAAAACAUUGAGGAAGCAUAUAAUGAUCUAACCCUUUUUUGUUUUGUUCUGUUUUUAAUUUGUUAUGGGAUUCUAUUGAAUGAUAAUUUUUUUUAUUUCCCAUACUUGGUUCUUCAACAACAACAUAUUCGAGAUUUUAUUUUUCUAGAAUUUUUAUAUAAAAGUUUGUAUUUUUUAAAAUAAUUUUGAGUUUUUUAUAAUUUUUAUAUAGAAUCGAGGUAAAUUGGCAAAAAAUUAUAAAAAACAAAAUACUAAAAUUGUUUAGUUAAGUGACCAAAGCGAAGAUCUACCCAUAGUUCAGUGGCUAAUUAUGUAGUUUACCCUUUCAUAAUUAAAAAAAUAGUUGUUCAGUUUUUCUUGUAUUAGAUAACAUUUUAGAUGGUAAAAACCCUCUUUAGUCCCUCUCAAUUUUGAUAUUAAGUAAAUUGGUCCAUUUUUUUUUAAAAAAAUCAAAGCAAUUUAAUCUUUGUUAAUUUCGAAAGUGAGCAACUAAGGACAAUUAAUCACAAUGUCAAUAUUUUCCAUCAAUUGUACAUAUUUUUAUUGGUAUAAUAACAAAUUUAGCUCUCCAAGUUUACACAUUCUAUCAAUUUGUUUUGAUUUAACAAAUUUAGCCCGCAACAGUUACAUAUUCUAUUAACAUUUACACAUAAUAUAUAAACAUCGAGAGCUUAAUUUGUUAUUAUAUAAAUAAAAUUAUGUACAAUUUACAGAAAGCAUUAACACAAUAAUUAAUUGUCCUUAGUUGCUCCAUUUCAAAAUUGAUAAUGAUUAAAUUGCUCUAAUUUUCUGAGAGAAACCAAUUUCUUCAAUAUAGAAAUUGAGAGGGACGAGAAAUGUGUUUUUAUCCAUUUUAGAUACUAACAAGUGUUUGGCGUAGUGGCAAGGCAUAUUACAUUCUCAAGGAGAGAAUGCGUAUUCAAACGUUGGAGAUAAUAAUAUUGUGUGGGGUAUCCACGGAUCUCGAACACAGACUGUAAAACAUAUAUAAAAAAUAAAAAGAAUAACAUCUUAAUUUAAAUAAUUAAUAAAUUUUAAUUUCAAAAAAGUAUUUUGAGAAACAUAGGUUUUAGUAAAUAGUAAAAUUGAAUCGAUAAAACAUGUCCAGUAUAUCAGAAUCAUAAAAAUACAACUUAAUUAAUUUGAAUUUAAACUUAACUCGACUCAAUUUGAUUAUAAAAAACUGAUAAUUUGAAUCCAAAAUGACAUGAUCUUGAAAUGAUUUGAAUUAAUUGUCAAACCCAAACGACAAAACUCGAAAUGAUGCAAUCCAAAAACACAAGUCAAAUGAACUAAACUAUGAAAGAAAAAAAAAACCUUACACCGACUCAAAUCCAAAAUAAUUUAAUCCUAAAAUAACCCAAAUUUUAUAUAAUAUAAACUCGAAAUAACCCGAUAAUUUUUUUCAGUCUUACUGUGUUUAUCUUUAUAAGUAUUCUUGUUUUCCUUGCCCAUACAUGUAUUGUAGUUAUCAAAAAAUAUAUUCUACUUUGGAUUUUAUUUAUAUUAAAUUUUAGGUUAAAUUCCGCUAUUACUCUCUGUACUUUAUGAAAAUGAUGGAUUUAAUCAUUGUACGUUAAUUUAAUCAAUUUUAGUCUUUGUAUUUUUUGAAUUGGUCAAUUUUAAACCAUUUACUUUUUGAAUUUUGAAAUUUUAGUCUUGAUUCAAAUAAUAUUAAUAAUAAUAAAAUCUGCUUAUUUAAAUUUAAUUAUUAGUUUUGUACUAUGUAGACAAUUAUAGAUUUAAUCCAUAUUUUUCAAUUGGGUCAUUCCAAGUCUUUAUACUUUUCAAAUUUUAAAAUUUCAAUAUUGAUGCAGAAUGCGAGUUGCUAUUAAUUAAUUGAUUUUUUUAGCCAAUGCAUGUAGAAAUAAUAAGUUGUUAUGUCAUUAUACUUAAAAUAAUAUAUUGGUUUAACCCGCUUAAAUUAUGUCUUUUUUUCCAUCUUGGGACCUAAAUUUUUUUGGGGUCAUAAGUGGUACCUAAACUACUUUUUUUUCUCCUUCAAAUUAGGGCUCCUUUGGAUCACCAGCAAGUUUCAGUGUGGUGAGAUUUAAAGAGUAAAAAAAAUUUGAACUGAAACGCAGCUCUAUUUGGGGUGUUUGGCAAGCACACCAGUAAGCAUUUUUCACCUCACUGUAACCCAAAAUAUUGGCUGGAGUUAAAAGCUUCAGUGGACUGAUUUGGAAGUCCAAAAAUAAGAGUAAUUAUUAUUUUACCCCUCCAAUUCUUCCUUUAUUAUUUAUUUUAUUUAAAACAGAUAACAUAAGUUUAAUAUGUCAUUAUUUAAUAUUAUUUAAUUUACAAUAAAAUUAUAAUUUUUAUUUAUAAAUUUAGUAUAAAUACAAUUUAAUUUAUAUUUUAUUAUUUGAUUCAAAUAUAAUCUGUAAAAAUAUUUUGAUAUUUUAUUAUGAAUAUAAUUUAAAAAUAUUUUAUUGUAUAUUUAAAAUAUUUUGAUAUUUUAUUAUGAAUAUAAUCUGUAAAAUAUUUUGAUAUUUUUGAAUUUUUCUCUAGUUUUAAUUUAUUUUUAAUUAUUUAUUAUUAAAAAUAAAUAUAAUUGUAAUAAUUUUUAAUUAUUUAUUAAUUUUGUAAUUGUUAAAUAAUUUUAAAAACUUCUAUUAUAUAUAUUUUUAAUCUAAUGUCCUUAAAAGUCAUUUUCUAUUUUCACCUCACCGCUACAACUGCGUUUGAAUCCAAACACACACUCCACCGCUGUUUCUAAUCUCACCGCUACAGUAUCCAAUCUCACCGCUACAGUACCUAAUCUCACCGCCACCGCUGUUUUUAACCUUACCGGAACUAAACACACCGCCCAUCCAAACCCACCCUUAGUAUAUUCAUUAGUUAAACUGUUAAGUCUAUUUAAAAAAGAAAGACUCGGACAACAAAUUAAUACUUAAACAAUGCUCUUUUUCCCAAGGUACCUAAUUUUUAUUUUGGCCAUGAGUAUUACUAAAACUAUUAUUCCAUUACUCAUUUUACACCAAAAUGUUAUAUCGGCUGAAAAGAUUCCAACAAAUAAUAGAUUGUAUGUCAUAUAAACUUUUAAAAAUAAUUAUUAAUUAAUUUUUUUCAUAUAAACUGAACGGUUUGACUAAUGACGGAGGUACCAAAUUAUAGUCUAGGUACCAAUUUAUGGGUUAAGCCUAUUUCUAAAAUAGACUUUUGACUAAUGGCGGUAGUAACUUGGGAAAAAAAAGUAGUUUAUGUACCACUUGUGAACAAAAAUAAGUUUAGGUACCAACAUCGUAAAAUGAGUAUAAUUUAGAUACCGAUUUAUGAGUUAAGCCUAAUAUAUUUGUUGCAUCAUUUUUUUGAAAAUAACAGAACUUAAUAAAUUUAACGGUUAUUUUUUGGUGAUGACUAAAAUUUUAAAAUUUGAAAAGUACAUGAACUAAAAAUGACCAAAUUAAAGUAUAAAGAUUAAGUCCACAACUUUUACAAAGUACAAGGAGUAAUAGCAGAAAUUAACCUAAAUUUCAUAUGGGUCACUUACAAAAAUAAUCACUAAACUAUUCCUUUGGUUCUAUUCUAGUCACUCAACUAUAAAGGUGCUCAUGAGCCGGGCCAGGUCAGGCCUAAGCAUGAUAUUAACGUACCUUAUGCUUGCUCAAGCUUGGCUCGGCCCGAAAUAUGAGCUUAAAAUUUCGCCUAAACUCAUCCAUAUUUGCAAAAGACUAACCUAAGCUCAUUUUAGGCAUGCCCAUAUAAUUUUUAGUUUUUUUUUAAUAUUUAUAUUAUAUUAUAUUAAUAAUUAAUAAUUUAAACUUUUUUUAUUUAUUGAAACUUUUUAUAUAGUCAUUUUAACAUUAUUUUAAUGUUUACAUUAUAGUAUUAUUAUAUAUUUAGUAUAAGUUUAUUUUGUUAAUCUAUUCUAAACUAUAUAAUAUAAAGUAUCAUACACUUAAAAAUAGGCCGAGCUGGGCUUGAGCUUUGAAUGUUCAAGCCUGAACUCAGCCCAAAUUUUAAACGGGCCUAAUUUUUUUACCCAAACCCAAUUUUUGGGCCUAAUAUUUUUAUCCAGACCCUCCCAAAUUUUGGGCAGCCCUUGGGCCUUGGCAAGUAGCCCAACUCAUUAACAAGUUUACUCAACUAUUAAUUUUUUCGAUUUAGUUGUUAACCUUUUCGAAAGUAAAUAUUUUAGUCACUCUCCUGUUAGGUGUUGUUAAAUGAGUGAUGGAAAGCUAAUGUGGGCUUUUUUUAUUAGUCUAAAAACAAAUUUUGCCCUCUAAUGUUUACACUUCUAUCAAUUUGAUCCUAGAUAUAAAAAAAAAUCAAAAAAUUUAGCCCUGAAUAUUAUCAAAAAUUAGCGAUUUAGUUCUAAUUCUAAAAAUUUUAAUAUAUACAUAUAUUUAAAAAAAUAUUUUUAAUCCUCUGUCUCACCCUUUGAUUUUUUUAGAGAUAUUCAAAAAUUAAAAUAUAUCAUUAUGUCUUUUCGUUUUAAUGCUAAAAGAGAUAAAAAAAAUAGAAAGCUAAAAUGACUUUUCAUUUGUAAAGUUAAAAAAUACUAAAUAAAUCAUUAUAUCUUUUUAGUUUUAAUUUUUUACUUGAUUAAAAGAGAAAUAAUUAACGAAUGAAAAAUAAUUAUUCCCAAAUAAAUUUAUAAGAAAUGAGAUUUUGCUAAAAGAAAAAGCAUGUAAAAGUAUACACGUUCUUAUGAAAUACAAAGAUUUUGCUAAAAGAAAAAGUAUCCAAUUUUAAGAAUGAAAAAUAUAUGGUAAAAGGAAGACUAAGUGGUUGUUGAAAAAUACAAAAAUUUUGAAAAUCUAAUAUCCAUAACUUUUCAAUGUAAAAGAAAAAAAUGACUGUAACACCAAUGUUGUGGUAUUAUUUGUUGCCUAUAAGUACCAUUCCUAUCCUUCAUCUUCCUCUACCAACAUAACAUGGCCUCCUAUCUCUUUCUGUCCCUGUUCCUCUUCUUUCCCCAUCUUUAUGCUUCUUUUUCUUCUUCAGGAUCUCACUCCUGCUCUUCACUAAUCCAGUUCAAGAACUCUUUUUCCAUCACAGAGUAUGCUUCUUAUCAUUGCAAUGAGAUUGCUGGCCUUCAAUCUUAUCCCAAGACAAAUUCAUGGAAGGAGGGUACAGAUUGCUGCUCAUGGGAUGGGGUCACUUGUGACCACCUAAAUGCUCAUGUUAUUGCCCUUGACUUGAGCUGCAGUUGGCUAUAUGGCAACUUCCCUUCCAAUUCCACUCUCUUCCUUCUUCCUCACCUUCAAAAACUCAACCUUGCCUACAAUCAUUUUAAUCGUUCCAAAAUGCCAUCCGAGUUCGGUCGGUUUACAAGCCUACUCUACCUCGACCUUUCCAGUACAGGGUUUGCAGGAGAAGUCCCAUCCCAAGUCUCCCACUUGUCAAAAUUGGUUUCACUUAAUCUUUCUUGGAUUGGACAACAAUUAACAAUUGACAAACAUGCUCUGGAGGGACUUGUUCACAACCUAACCGAGGUCAGGUAUCUGUUUUUGGAUGGAAUCAACAUGGCUUCUGUUAAUGCUCAAGUCUUUAUGAAUCUAUCCUCUUCUCUAAGGUCUCUCAGUCUUUCUGGUUGUGAUUUGCAAGGAAAAUUCCCAAAAAACAUUUUUGAUUUGCCAAACCUCAAUCUCCUCAACUUUGGAGACAACCAAUUGAGUGGACAAAUUCCAAGAUUAUUGGGGAACCUCUUGCAACUCACUUCUUUAGACUUGUCGUUGAACCAAUUGAGUGGACAAAUUCCAUUGUCAAUUCUAAACCUAACGCAGCUGGAAUUUUUGGCAAUAUCUGAAAAUUUAUUAGAAGGUUCCAUUCCAGAUGAAGUAACCGCUUUUCCUAACCUAAAAUUUUUAUACUUAGAUAACAAUUUACUCAGUGGAACACUUCCGUCAUGGUUGUAUACUGCUCCCUCAUUAGACAGUAUAGGUCUCUCUCAAAAUCAAUUCAGUGGGCAUAUCAAAGAAUUCCAAUCCAAAUCACUAGAAUGGAUAGCGUUAGAGAAUAAUAAACUCCAAGGUCCUCUUCCAUCUUCAAUAUUCCAACUUCUCAAUCUUACCCGCCUCUUUUUAUCCUCAAAUAAUCUUAGUGGUGUCAUAGAGUUUCGCAUGUUCUCAAACCUUCCAAAUCUCGACCUUCUUGACCUUUCAUAUAACAGCCUAUCCUUAACAUCUAAUACUACUUCUACUGUUAAUCAUAUAUUGCCUAAUCUUACAAUGUUAUUUUUGUCAUCUUGCAAUCUUAGUGAAUUCCCCCAAUUUUUGAAAGGGCUUAAAAGGUUGGAAAUGUUAGACCUCUCUUGCAACAAACUUCAAGGCAAGAUUCCACAGUGGAUGCAAGAGGUGGGGAAUGUCUCUUUGACUUUCUUAAACGUAUCUCACAACUCUUUGACAGAAGUUGAGCACUUUCCGUGGAAUAAUAUUGCAGUUCUGGACUUAAGCUCCAAUUUGAUCCGUGGAAAUCUUCCGAUUCCAGCUUCGAAGAUCAAUGUCUUUCUGAUCUCAAAUAAUAGUUUCAAUGGAGAGGUCUCUUCUUUAAUCUGCAAUGCCAGUGAUCUUGAAAUUCUUGAUUUGUCCCACAAUAACUUGAGUGGAACAAUUCCGCAAUGUUUUGGAAAUUUGAGCAACAGCCUUGAAUUCUUGAAUCUGAAGAAGAACAAGUUCUAUGGGACGAUUCCUCCAACAUUUGCAGAGGGAUGCCAAUUGAGUAAUUUCAACUUAAAUGGAAAUCUGUUAGAAGGGCCUUUGACACCAUCCAUCCUUAAUUGUAAUGAUCUGGAAGUGCUAGAUCUUGGUAACAACAAGAUCAAUGAUACAUUUCCUCAUUGGUUGGGAAGUCUUCCACAGCUACAAGUUCUUGUAUUGAAGUCAAAUCAUAUGCAUGGUUCCUUGCGUGUCAAUAGCUCCAAGUCUAGCCCUUUUUUCUCUAAAAUCCAAAUUUUUGAUCUCUCAAGUAAUUAUUUUUCUGGACCCCUACCAGUGAGAUACAUCAACAGCUUCAAGGCUAUCAUAAAUCUAGAGAAGAUUGGUAGUACAGUGUCGUACAUGGGGGUGAAUGAUGGCUUCUAUACCUAUUCCAUUGGAAUUGUUAUAAAAGGACAAUAUAUGGAAUUGGUGAAAAUUUUCACCGUGUGGAUGAUCAUUGAUCUAUCAAACAAUCAGUUUGAAGGGGGUAUUCCAGAGGUUUUUGGGAAGCUUAACUUACUGAAAGGGCUCAACCUUUCUCAUAAUAACCUUAAUGGUGGUAUCCCUACCUCAAUAGGGAAUUUGACAAGUCUUGAAUGGUUGGACCUAUCUUCAAACAGGUUGUCUGGGACGAUUCCAAAUAGAUUGGCAGAUCUGCCAUUUCUUUCGUCCUUCAAUGUUUCUGAAAAUCAACUCCAUGGUCAGAUUCCUCAAGGCAAACAGUUCAACACAUUUGGAAAUGAUUCAUAUGAAGGAAACAAAGGAUUAUGUGGAUUUACGGUCUCGAAAGGUUGAAACAUCAUUGAGCCAGCACCUCCAAAUGUGCUUGAAAAAGAUGGCUCAAAAUCAAACAUUACUUUUGGUUGGAAAGUGGUGUUGAUAGGUUAUGGAUGCGGAGUGGUGUUCGGAAUGUCCGUGGGAUAUGUUGUUUUCCAAACUGGUAAGCCGAAAUGGUUGGUGAAUUUGGUUGAAAUCCAACAUGAGAAGAAGCGAAGAAGAAAGUCAAAGGAUGGCAGUCGCAGAAAUGGACGAAGAAGGAUCUAGUUAGUGGAAAUGAUGUUCAAGUGUUGAUGUUGUAUCUUCAUAAUUUCUUGUUUUGAAGUCUUUCAAUUUUUUUCCUAUGGUGAAAGGUUGCAUUGGCAUGCAUCUGUCUUUGUUAUUGUGACAAUUCAUCUAUAUUUCAUUGCAUUACGUGGUAUUUGUAAGGGUUUGUUUUAAAUGUAACAUUUUGUAUGGUUCAACUAUUUAUGUCUUCUUUCAUGACUUUUAUUUUUGAGUCUCAAUAAUCUCUGCAUUCAAGAUUUUGUCAGCUUAUUAAUUGGUGGAUCAAUAAUCUUCAUGCUCAUCUCAUCAUCUUUUUCUCGAGUUAAACACAGCCAAUACUAUAACAAUUUCUUCUGUGUGGAAAAUAAUUUGGCAUUCUGCAAAUUUCCACAAUGCUUGUGGAUUGCCUUUGGUUGACAGCUAUACAUAUAAAGGAAGGAAACAAGACCAUGUCAAAAUUUCCAAAAAUUAGUCAUUCAUUUUUUAAAAUUGUAAAUUCUCAAGUAAUGUAAAUUAGUCCUAAAACUCAAGUUUUGAAAUCUUUACAAUUUAACCCCUUACUAUUUUAUGCUCAACUUUCUAAAUCUUCAUAUUUCAUGAUCAUAUAAUUUAGUUACUACAUCAAUAUUUGAGAUUUCACUACUCAAACCCUUACUUCAUUUUGGUCCUUACUUCAAUUUUAUCAAAUUAAAUCAUUUUUCAAUUUGAAUGCAUUGAUGUGAAAUUGAGGGAGCACUAAACAAUGUUGAUGCGAGUUUAGGCAAAAUUGGUGGAUCCCAUCUCCUUAGUAAUUUCUUUAUGGAAGUAGCUGCUUUCACACUGCAAACUUGGAUAAUUUGUGGUGGACGAUGAUGAAUGAUUUGACAAUCAAACACAUAAUUUUUAAACACAAAAUUAACGAUAUAUUGAAAUCAUUAUUGAAAUUAUAAUCAAAAUUAAUACAUGUUUUUUUUAUUUGCUUAAGGUGUAAAAACCCUUCAAAAUUUUCAAAAAUAAAAAUAAAAAUUUAAGUCCCUCUUUUUUUUUUUAACACUCAAUUGAGCACUUAAACUUUUAAAAUGUGUCAAAAAUAUCUUUACACUUCUUCAAAAAAAGCGAUUAAACUCUUUUUUUUUUCGCUCAAUUGGGUGCUUGAACUUUCAUAAUGCAUCAAAAAGACCUUUUUUUUUCAAAGAAACAAUUAAGCCUCUAUUUUUUUCCCACUCAAUUGGGUACUUGAACUUUCAUAAUGCAUCAAAAAGCAAUUAAGGCCUUUUUCAUGCAUUAUGAAAGUUCAAGUACCGAAUUGAGUGCAAGAAAAAAAAAGUAGGGGCUUAAUUGCUUUUUUUGAAAAUGUUUGAGGGCCUUUUUGAUGUAUUUUGAAAGUUCAAGUACCCAAAUGAGUGCAUAAAAAGAACAGGGGUUCAAUUGCCAUUUUUGAAAAAGUUUGAGGGCUUUUUGCACCCUUAAACCUCUUUUCUUUUUCUAAAUUUAAUUUAGAACCAACUUUGAGUAAAGACUUGGGAAAUUUAAUUACCAAAAUUUCUUUCCAUGCAAAAAUUUCCCCUAUUUCUUGUUUGAAUUUAAAGCAAUACAAUAUUUUUCUAGCUAGUAAUAGAAAAUGACAGUCAAUUCAUUCCAAGCAAUGCAAAAUUUCCAGUCUGGUGGAAAAUUUGUUUCUUAGAUACUAUUAUUCAACUUUUAAGGCAUAAGUUUGAAUAUAGGGACUACAUUUUUAAAGUGUUGUUUACUACACACUUAGGGACCAUAUAUGUGUAUAUAUAUAUAUAUAUAUUCCAGUCUGGGUCUUUGUCGUGUUUUGUUGGUUGGCUAUGGCCUUGUUGCUGUUUCCACUGUCUGUGGUCUUUGUUUCUAAGUCAUAUGUGGCCUUGUUUGCUACAACUUAGUUGCUAAGUUAAAGGGAGUUAAUAGAGCACCAUUUUCUUCUUUUGCGUGGAAAAUAAGUUGGCGUUAUGCCAAUUUCCACAUUCAUACAUAUAAUGGAAGCAAGAGCAAGUCAAUAUACUUUGUAAUCUCAUCACUUCUUCUUCUUUCUUUGGGGAGUUCAAAUGAAAUACAAAUUUUGAGUAAAUCAACUAUUCAUUGACGGUACAAACGAGUUAAAAUUUCCAGCAUUCAUGUCUUUGUUUUCCCUCAAGUAAACGUAGUCAAUACUGCAAAUGGUGUGGAAGUAUUGUACAUUGUGGCCCAAAUGUCCAAAAUUUCCCCAUUGCUUGUAAAUGAAAUUUGGGUGAGAGAGAUGGGAGGAAGCAACAGCAAGUGUGAAGUCAAUAGACAAUUGACAGUCUUUAUUCUUUUGUGUGGAAAAUUAUUUGGGACCAAACUUGACUUGUUAUAAGGAAGAAGACUUUGUAAUCUCAUAAAUGUUAAUUAUUUUACUUCUUUGGUAAAAAAAAAAGUAAUCAAUUUUAUGAAUGAAAAAUAUAUGGUAAAGAGGAAGUAGUUGUUGAUCACUAAUAACAUGAUGAUUGUGGAAAUACAAAAAUUCCCGUAUAUGUGUUGAAUUCUGCAUAAUGUAAAUGUCCCGCAUUGCAUGUGAAUUCUGCAAUAAACUAAACUUUACGUGUUAUAGUUCUUUAAACCGAGUUAAUGAAAAGUAACCAUUCUUAUCAAAAUUAGUUAUACUCCUAAUUUAUAACAAAGGAAAUAAUAAUUUGAGUUUAACUCAAAGGUUAAUAUGUCAUCAAUGGGCGAUGGCGUGGUGCUACCAUGUCAGCGAUUAUUUUCUUCUUUGAGUUAAGGUGAUUUCACCAAUUUUAGGUUACUUUUUUACUUCAAUUUAGGUUUAUGCUUAUUAGCUUCGAAGAUUCUAAGUGGGUGCCACAAUCAAAGGGUGAGUAAAAAGGGUUAAAAAUGAUUUUUUUUAAAAAAUAUUUUUAUUUUUUUAUUAAAAAUUUAGAAUUAGAAUUAGACAAAUUUUGUAAAUGUUAAGGCUAACUUUAUUGAAUUUUUUUUUUCAGAAUUUGAACUAAAAUGACAAAUUUUGUAAAAAGCACUAAAUUUGUUGAAUUUUUUACAUUUAGGAUCAAAUUGAUAGAAUGUGUAAAUAUUAGAGGUUAAAUUUGUUAUUAGAUGAAUAAAAAAAACCCACAUCAACUUUCCAUCACUCAUCUAACGACAACUAAAGGGAGAGUGAUUAAAAUAUUUAAUUUCAAAAAGUUUAGCAACUAAAUUGGAAAAUUUAAUAGUUGGGUGACUAUUUUUAUAGUUUACAAUUUUUUUGGUCACCUGACUAUUAAGUGACACGUUUUAGUUGGUAUAAUAAUAAUUUUAGUCCUCAAUUUUUAUACUUUCUGUCAAUUUAACUCUAAUUAUAUAAAAUGAUUACAAAAGUGAAAUUCUUUUUAAAUUUUACAAAAUUCUAAAAAUUAAAUGAAAGUAGAUAAAAAUUUCAAAUAUAAAUAAAGUGAGAGAAAAUGAGGAAAAUAUUAUUUUUAAACCCUCCAAAUUUUAUUUGUAUUAUCUGUAAAGCAAUAUCUAAUAUCCAUUCUUUUAGAAAACAUAGAAAAAGGUAAAAAAAAGCUUAAGUAAAAUUAUCUGUAUAUAAUCUGCUUUUAUAAUUUGGGUUUUUAAAAAUAAAUUUAAAUGAAUUGAAAAUUUGAAUUGAGUUUGAAAAAGAAAAUUUUGUGGUAUAUUUUAUAUUUUUGCUAGAAAAAUAGCAUCAAAGUCGAUUUCGUAAGCUUUUGUAAUAUCAGUUACGGAUGUUCUUCAAGGGCAUAGAACUCAACUUGAAAAUUUUACUAAUUUGGUUACAAAAAAACAUUGAGGAAGCAUAUAAUGAUCUAACUUUUUUUUUCUGUUUUUAAUUUGUUAUGGGAUUCUAUUGAAUGAUAAUUUUUUUUAUUUCCCGUAUUUAGUUCUUCAACAACAACAUAUUCGAGAUUUUAUUUUUCUAGAAUUUUUACAUAAAAGUAAAGUUUGUAUUUUUUAAAAUAAUUUUGAGUUUUUUAUAAUUUUUAUAUAGAAUCGAGGUAAAUUGGCAAAAAAAUUAUAAAAACAAAAUACUAAAAUUGUUUAGUUAAGUGACCAAAACGAAAAUCUACCCAUAGUUCAGUGACUAAUUAUGUAGUUUACCCUUCAUAAUUAAAAAAAUAGCUGUUAAGUUUUUCUUGUAUUAGAUAACAUUUUAGAUGGUAAAAACCCUCUUUAGUCCCUCUCAAUUUUGAUAUUAAGUAAAUUGAUCCAUUUUAAAAAAAAAAUCAAAGCAAUUUAAUCUUUGUUAAUUUCGAAAGUGAACAACUAAAGAUAAUUAAUCACAAUGUCAAUAUUUUCCAUCAAUUGUACAUAUUUUUAUUGGUAUAAUAACAAAUUUAGCUCUCGAAGUUUACACAUUCUGUCAAUUUGGUCUUGAUUUAACAAAUUUAGCCCGCAACAAUUACAUAUUCUAUUAACAUUUACACAUAAUAUAUAAACAUCGAGAGCUUAAUUUGUUAUUAUAUCUGUAAUACCCAAAUUUUGCCCGGCCCAAGCCCAAGUAUCAAAACCCAAAUAAAAAAUAUACAUAAUAAAAGUCCAAUAACAUCAGUCCAGAUUACAAACCAAAUAAAUUAAGCCCAAACUCGAUUACAAAGUCCAAAUUCCCAAGCACAAACUGUUAACCCAACACUCCAGCCCCAAAUUAUUAGCCCAAAAUCAAACCCACUAAGCCUAAUCAGCCAACCCUAACCCGAACGGCCUACAUACCUAGCCCUAAAACAUUUUCAAAAAAACCUAAAGCAACUAUUUGCCUCAGCCGCCGCAACAGUAGCCUCCCACACGCGCGCCUCUCAUUAUCUUGAAGUAUCUUUUUGAAAUUGAUUAUUAAUUUAUGGGGUGCUUAAUUAUUGAUAUUAGUAUUUGUAUGAUAUGACUAAAAUAAUUAUUGUUAUUUGCAUUUACCUAUUAUUUGUUUGUCUUCUUAAUGUAUGUUUGGGUUGUUAUUUAUCCUUUUCGUUAUGUAUUGCUAUUCAAUCAUGUUUCAUUUGUAAGAAUUGUAUUUUUAAAGCACAACAGAUCAUUCUAUUUCAUAAUUUUCAAAAAGGCCUGAUGUUCAUAGCUCUCGAGAGAAUUGUGCCCUAACUUACUGGGCUUCAAUUCUUCUCGAUGAAUUUGAAUAGCCAAGUGUUUAUUGUAUUAAAACCACACAACUUUUAAAAUAAAGUUUUCAAGAUUUUAAAUUGUUGGAUCCUAACUUACUGGAUGUGGCAUUUUGUUAUCCCAAUUUUAAAAUAAAGGCAAUGUUUGACGUUUAAGAACUUCGAGAAAUCGAAACCUAACUUACUGGAUUCUGAUUUCUCAUUUGACUUAAAUGACCGAAUAGCCUUCUCAAAAUGCAUGAAUUUUAAAAUUUGAAAAUUAAAAAGACAUACUUAAUUUUGACGAUUGAAUCGUUGCACUCUAACUUACUGAGUGUGGCAAUUUAUUUCUUUGAAAUGAGUGUGUUUUAUUAUUCAAAUUUAAACUUUAAAAGGAUCGUAUUUUUCGACACUAAGACAUUAAACAAUCGAUUCGGUACCAAUUUUGGGCGUUACGAGGGUACUAACCCUUCCUCGUGCGUAACCGACUCCCGAACCUAUUUUCUCAAAAUUCGUAGACCUAAAAUUAUUUUCAAGGUGAUCCGGUCACACCUCAACAAAAGAUCGGUGGCGACUCCCAUUUUCAUUUUCAAAGUCGAUUCCCAUUUUUAAAACAUAAAAAAUGGUUUCGGCAAUAUCAAUAAAAAUUAUGUACAAUUUACAGAAAGCAUUAACACAAUGAUUAAUUGUCCUUAGUUGCUCCCUUUCAAAAUUAAUAAUGAUUAAAUUGCUCUAAUUUUCUGAGAGGAACCAAUUUGUUCAAUAUAGAAAUUGAGAGGGACGAGAAAUGUGUUUUUAUCCAUUUUAGAUACCAACAAGUGUUUGGCGUAGUGGCAAGGCAUAUUACAUUCUCAAGGAGAGAAUGCGUAUUCAAACGUUGGAGAUAACAAUGUUGUGUGGGGUAUCCACGGAUUUGAACACGGACUAUAAAACAUAUAUAAAGAAUAAAAAGAAUAACAUCUUAAUUUAAAUAAUUAAUAAAUUUUAAUUUGAAAAAAGUAUUUUGAGAAACAUAAGUUUUAGUAAGUAGUAAAAUUGAAUCGAUAAAACAUGUCCAUUAUAUCAGAAUCAUAAAAAUACAACUUAAUUAAUUUGAAUUUAAACUUAACUCAACUCGAUUUUGAUUAUAAAGAACUGAUAAUUUGAAUCCAAAAUGACAUGAUCUUGAAAUGAUUUGAAUUAAUUGUCAAACCUGAACGACAAGACUCGAAAUGAUGCAAUCCAAAAACACAAAUAAAAUGAACUAAACUAUGAAAGAAAAAAAAAACCUUACACCGACUCAAAUCCAAAAUAAUUUAAUCAUAAAAUAACCCAAAUUUUAUAUAAUAUAAACUCGAAAUAACCCAAAAAUUUUUAAAUUAAAAUUGACCCGACCCAAAUUCACACCACCUAAAAUCAAUCGUAACCACCUAAUUAAAAAGCAUGAAAUGAAAUGAUGUAAAGAGAAAAUUAGAGAAAACCAAAUAGAAAGUAACAAGCUUUUUUCAGAAUUGAAAGCAAAUUCCGUACAUUCACGACAUGCAUAAAACAACAAUGGUUUAUAGAAUUUGAGUUUUAGUCCCUGUACUUUAAAAGUUAAUUUUUCUUAAUUUAAAAAUUUUAGUUUAAUCAUUCAUGUUGGUUGUAGUUUCCAUUAGCUUAAUCAACAUGUUAAAUUAUUAAAUUUUGAUAUAAAAUAUUUACGAGUUUAAUAAUUAUACUGAGAUUUUUAAAUAAAAAAGUUGGAAGACUUAAUUUCUAACAUUUUAAAUAUAGGGACUAAAAGCAUCUUUUAACUUUGAUAUUAUUAUUAUAAGCAGGGAUAAUGUCAUCUUUGGCAUCUGUACUUUUAUAAAAUGUCUAGUGGUACAAGUACUUUGAAAAUAUAUAAUGUGGUACCUGAACUAUCAAUAUGUGUUAUUAUUAUGGUACAUGUACUUUGAAAAUGUUUAAUGUGGUACCUAAACUAUCAAUAUAUAUUUUAUUAUGAUACUUGAUAAAGAUGGACUAUUAUUGGUAGCUUAAGGGGCUCUUUGUCCCGCCAUCCCUGCAAAAAAAAAAUUGGAGAAUUUUGUUUUUUCCUUUAAAAUUUUUAGAAAAUUUCAAUUAAGCCCUCAAAAUUUUUGAAAAUUUUCAUUAUACCUUUUAAUUUUUUAAAAAAUUUUAAUUAAGCACUCUUAAAUUUUGAAAAUUCUCAUUAAUCUCACAAAAAUUUUAAUUUUUUUAAAAAAAAUAUUAUUAAACCAUUAAAUUUUUAGAAAAUUUUACCUGCCCCCUCCCCCAAAAAAAAACCUAGUCCCAACCCCUAGGAUCCGCCAUUGGUACUUGGUAUUAACACUGUUAGAAAAUUGCUAAAUAAACCAAUGAAAAUUUGACACAUAGAACCCUUUUUUUAAUUAUCAAGUCCACGUGGAUAAAAUAAUAGUGAAAAACUAAAUAAAACAAUAAUUAAAUGAAAUAAAAAAACAAAUAACUAAACAUAUGGUUAAUAAAAAAAAGCCGUACUUUCAAAGAUAAUAAAAAAUAUUAUUUAAAAAUCAAUUGAAAAUAUUAUUUUAAAAGGAAAACUCUUUGGAGAAGAUGAUCAUUUGCUUAAAUGGAGAAUAUAAUAUUUUUGGUUAUGCAAGUUUAGUAUUUACUUCUUUUUUAUUAAUCAUAUGUUUAGUUUUUUUAAUUAAUUUAAUUGUUUUAUUUAGUUUUUCACAUAAUGUUAUUUUACACAUGCGGACUUGAUGAAUUAGAAAAAAAUAUUACGUGUUAAAUUUUCAUUGGUUGGUCUAAUAAUUCAUUAACGGUGGAUUUGUUCUACAUUGAUGACAAAGAUGUGGAGUUUAAAGAAGUAAGAACUUAUCAACAAUAUUCGAGGUUCUGUUGUAUGUUGCCUUAUUAAAGAAGUCUUCACUUAAAAUCUUCUAUGUUGCCUUAUGUAUGUAGGUUCUUGAGUCACCUUUGCCAAAAGCACCACAUGAUACAUCUGUUACAUCCCACUGGCUUGCGAUUUAAGGCAUUCAACCAGUAAUUCCAGAAAAUGCUUCAAUUGAAGGUACCGUCUUAGCUAACCUAAAUAUUCUCUCGAAGCUAUUUGUGUUGAAGACUCUCAUGGUUCAUGUUCUUUUCUGGUUUUAUCACUUUAAUCUAAUACGAGUUAUCUUCAUUUCUACAUGGAAUUGGUAUUUUGCUUUCCAUGCAGCACCUUCUGAUGGUAAAAAGGCUGAAUACAAAGAAGAUGGGCUUUCCGUUGAUGUCAAAUUAUUUGUUAAACAUGUAUUAUCUAGAGAGCUUCAAGUAUGUUGUACAUCUUCAGCAACAUUUUUAUGUUAAAAUACAUUUUGCACAGAAUGAUAUUAAAAGACUAAUUUGGUUGUCAUGCAGCUUUACUUUGACAAGAUCGUGGACAUUACCAUGAAUAAAUCAGUAUCAAUUCUCUUUAAACAAGCAUUACUGAGUUUGGCAACAGACUCGGGAUUACAUCCUUUAGUUCCUUAUUUUACAUAUUUCAUUGCGGAUGAGGUUGUCUUAAAGAUCUUUCAUACCUCAUUAUAUAUGUGUGUUGCAAAGAACUUUUGGUUGGUUAUCUCAAGCUUACAUUUUUGCCACAUUUAUCUCAGGUUGCACGGAAUUUGAAUAAAUUCCCUCUCAUGUUUGCUUUGAUGCGUGUUGCCCGGAGUCUUCUCGAGAAUGAACACUUACACAUAGAACCUUACGUGAGUUUAUUAUUUCAAUCAUUUAGAAGUACACGAACUAAUGCAAAUAUGCUAGUGGUUUAUUUUCCACCUAUCUGAUUUUUUAAAAUGUUCUUCAGUUACACCAGUUGAUGCCAUCUAUUAUUACCUGCCUUGUUGCAAAAAGGUUAGGAAAUAAAUUCACCGACAAUCAUUGGGAACUUAGAAACUUUGCAGCAAAGCUAGUGGCAUCAAUAUGCAAAAGGUGAAGAUUUCUUUUCUUUUGGACUUAUACAUGCAUAUUCGUUUUUAUGAAUUUCAGGUGUCGAGUUUUUAGUUAUAAACUUGGACCUAUUCUUCAAAUCAUGUGUAUAUCAUUUUUAUGCUAUUUCACACAUGCAAAACAAAUGGUGCAAGCAUGCAUGUUAUAUGCACAGAAUUGUUGAAAGCUGGACUGCAAUGCAACAUGGAGCCAGAAGCAUGCAACUGUCGAGACCAGCAGCUAUCAAGCUCAGCUCAUUUUGCUUGGAGCGCACGAAUGGUUUUUGGACCAAAUGAAGCAACUGACAUUGCUGUUUUGUUUUGAUGUAAUUUAGUUCAGUUUGAUUGUAACUAGCUUUAAUAGUUAGUAGGAUUAAGUUAGUGAUUAGAUAGCUGAUGUAAAAGCUGAUAUGGCAGCUCAUUUUGUAUUUGACUUUAACUUAUUUUGGUUGUAAAUUAGUGGAUGCAGUUAGAUUAGUAGGUAACUAUCAAAUGAACAAAUUGUAACUCCUUUUUAUUUCAAAAAAUUUUGGAUGAAACGUAAUAAUGUUCAGUUACAAUUCUGGCUGUACAUUCAAGUUUCUUGCUUGCUGCUCUGCUUGUUUUUCUUUUCUGCUUCGUUUACUCUUGCUUCUGCUUGCAAAUCUCUUUGUUGCUGCUGCCAUUGUUCCAACAAGAAUACAUAGAUUAAUUACGUGUGGAUCAUUAAGAAUGCCUAUGUAUUGGAAAUUGGCCAACCAUGCUGCUGUUACAUUUUGUGUUGAAGUGCAUGCAGCUUGAUGACAUGCUGCAGCACAUAUGCUUGCUGUAACAGCAAGGUUUCUCUUUAGUUUCAUCCUAAUUAAACUAGUUGAAAAUGAACAAGUUGAUGACAACUUGAUGCAUGAGGUGUUGAAUGAUUAGUUUAGGUGGCUUGUUUAUGUGUACAAGCAAUGUUUUAAUAGUCCCAAUGCUGAUUAGUGGGGUUAGUUGACUAUUUGGUGAUGUAUUUGACUAUAAAUGUAUGUUUUUUUUCGUUGAAUGAAUGAGCUGAAUAAGCUAUCAGCCAUAUGCUCCCUUGCUGCACAUUUGUGAGCAAGUAAAAAUACUUCUUGCAUCUUGCUUCAUUGUUCUGUGCUCUCUGUUCUCUUCUUUUGCUGCUGCCAAUGCUCCAACACUAUGUUUGACCAUUGUGUGUGGCUACUUUUUUUUUACAUGAUCCAAUUUUCGAUAUGAUAUGCUUUGCUUUUAGGUUGAAUGCGGAAAAGAUUAGAACUUAAUUUCCAGCAUAAUGAUUUGUCUUGGAUAUGCAGAUUUUUACAUGCAUUUCUUAAAAGUCAAUAUUUUAUAGAUUCGGGCAUGUUUAUCACAACCUUCAGCCACGUGUGACAAGGACACUGCUCCACGCUUUUUUGGACCCAACGAAAACAUUUCCCCAGCAUUACGGAGCAAUUCAAGGGUUAGCAUGUUAGAAAUCAAACCCACUCCAAGCAUAAUCUAGAAGCAUGAGACGUGGAGCAAUUUUGUGCCAUGCAAAGUGCUGAAAUUUUAGCCAUACAAAGUGCUCCAUUAUUGAGAUGUUUUGUGGCUGGAAAUUAAGUGGAUUAAUAGCCACAUUUGUUGUCACUUUAUCAGCCUAUAAAUAGAGGCUUGAACUUGUGUUGUAAAAAAGAAGAAAAAUGAGAAGAAAAAAGAAAUAAGAGAAGCAACGUGAGUGAGAGUGAGAAGGUUAGCAAACCUUGAGUGAGUUAAAAUCUAGCAGCAGCUAGACUAUCUAGUCAUUGAGAAAAUAUUUGUAAUCUUCGUAUUGUAAUAUAUUGAGUGUGUAAUAAAAAGUAAAUUUUCGGCCCAUCACGUUUCCAACAAGUGGCAUCAGAGCUACGGUUCGGAGCUUGGUUCGGAGUUCGGUUCGUGUCCGGUUCGUGUCCAGUUCGGAGUACCUUUGGUGUUCAUCUAACAAGUCGAUAUGGGCGACGUAAUUCAGCUACAAGUUCCACAAUUGACGAAGACAAAUUAUGGAAAUUGGAGCAUUCGAAUGAAGGCUUUGCUCGGUUCGCAAGAUUGUUGGGAGAUCGUUGAAAAAGGAUACAUCGAGCCCGGAGAUGCCGCUACAGAAGCAGCUUUAUCAAAUGACGCUAAGAAGGCGUUACGAGAAGCACGAAAGAAGGAUCAAAAGGCCUUGAAUAGUAUCUUUCAAGGUAUGGAUGAAUCAACCUUCGAGAAAAUAUCAGAUGUGAAGAACGCGAAGAAUGCAUGGGAGAUUUUGCAAAAAUCAUUUCAAGGUGUAGAAAAAGCUAAAAAGGUACGCCUUCAGUCACUUAGAGCUGAAUUUGAAAUGUUAAAAAUGAAGAGCUCCGAGAAUAUCGAUGACUAUGCCAAUCGUGUAAAAUCGGUGGUAAAUGAAAUGAAACGAAAUGGAGAAACUCUUGACGAGGUAAGAAUGAUGGAGAAAAUUCUACGGUCACUCACACGCAAAUUCGAGUACGUAGUCGUUGCCAUCGAAGAAUCAAAAGAUUUGUCAAAGAUGUCGCUCGAAGAACUUGUGGGUUCUCUGCAAGCCCAUGAGCAAAAGAUGAAGCUAAAUGAAGAUAGUGAAAAUCUUGAUCAAGCCUUGCAUAGCAAGUUGUCCGUCGACGACGGAGAAACAAGUAAUAACUUUAACCAAGGAAGAGGAAACCGCAGAGGAUACCGUGGAGGCUACCGUGGUGGAAACAGAGGAGGAAGAGGAUCACGAGGACGUGGAAAUCAAUCAUAUGGGAGAUAUCAAGAAAAUAAAGAUUAUCAAACAUCCAACCGUGGACGUGGAUCUAGAGGUCGUGGCCGAGGCAGAUUUCAAGAAAAUAAAUCUCAGGUACAAUGCUACAACUGUAACAAGUAUGGACAUUUCAGUUACGAGUGCAGAUCAACACACAAAGUGGAUGAAAGAAACCAUGUAGCAGUCAUAGCAGAAGGCAACGAAAAAGUGGAAUCAAGUGUCUUUCUCACUUACGGAGAAAAUGAAGAUCGCAAGAGAAGUGUGUGGUAUCUCGACAACGGUGCAAGCAACCACAUGUGUGGAAGAAAGGAGCUGUUCACAGAAUUAGAUGAAACAGUUCAUGGACAAAUAACUUUUGGAGACAACUCACAUGCAGAAAUCAAAGGAAAGGGCAAGGUUGUUAUAACACAAAGGAAUGGAGAGAAGAAGUACAUCUCAGACGUUUACUACGUACCAGCUUUGAAGAGCAACCUGAUCAGUCUUGGUCAACUCCUAGAAAAAGGAUAUGAAGUUCAUAUGAAAGACCGCUCACUCGCCAUCAGGAACAAAAGUGGAGAAUUAGUUGUUCGAGUUGAUAUGACGCGAAAUCGUCUUUUCACCCUCGACAUCGAGUCUGGAGAAGUAAAAUGCAUGAAGACGGAUCUGAAGAAUGAAUCAUGGUUGUGGCACUUAAGGUACGGACAUCUCGGAUUUUCUGGCUUGAAGCUGUUGUCGAAGACAAAUAUGGUGAAUGGAUUACCAAGUAUUAAUCAUCCAGAUCAACUGUGUGAAGCCUGUGUCAAAGGAAAGUAGCAUAGGCAGAAAUUUGAAGUAGGAAAAUCUCGAAGAGCUAGAAGACCAUUGGAAAUUGUACACACCGACAUAUCUGGUCCGUACGACAUUGAAUCACUCGGUGGAAACAGGUACUACCUAACUUUUAUUGAUGAUUAUAGCAGAAAAUGUUGGGUUUAUUUUCUCAAAGCAAAAUCGGAAGCCCUAGAAAAAUUCAAGGAGUUCAAAGCAAUGGUGGAAAAACAGAGUGGUCGAUAUUUGAAGAUACUCAGAUCCGAUAGAGGAGGCGAGUAUACUGCAAAGCUUUAUGAAAGUUUCUGCAAAGAUCAUGGAAUCAUUCAUCAGUUAACAGCCAGACGCACUCCACAACAAAACGGAGUUGCAGAAAGGAAGAAUCGGACAAUUCUGGAUAUGGCAAGAAGCAUGAUAAAAGGUAAACACCUUCCGAGAAAUUUCUGGGCUGAAGCCGUUGAAUGCGCAGUUUAUCUGUUGAAUCAAUGUCCAACAAAAAGUGUAAGACACAAGACACCAGAAGAAGCAUGGAGCGAUCACAAGCCAAGAGUUGGACACCUCAAAAUUUUUGGAUGCAUUGCAUAUGCACACGUUCCUGAGCAACAGAGGAAAAAGCUUGACGAUAGAGGAGAGAAGUGUAUCUUUAUAGGCUAUGACAAAAGAAGUAAGGCCUACAGACUUUAUAAUCCUCUUACUAAGAAAUUGAUUAUCUCAAGAGAUGUCGAGUUCGAUGAAGCGGAUUACUGGAGAUGGAGUGAAGAAGAAAAGAAAGUGGAAGGAUUAUUUUUCAACGAAGACGACAAUGAUGUCAUCAACCAAGAAGAACAAGGCGAUGAUCAAAGUCCUGGUACAACAGCCCCUUCGUCACCAACCAGCAGCAGCGGAAGCAGCAGCUCAGAUGAAGCACCCACAAGAACACGGAGUCUCAACGACAUCUACAAUUCUACGGAACCUGUAGAGACGCAGUUCGAUUAUUCACUAUUCUGUCUAAUGACAGAAUGUGAUCCAGUGACAUACGAAGAAGCAAUUGAAGACAAUAAAUGGAAGAAGGCCAUGGACGAGGAGAUUGCUGCAAUAAGAAGGAAUGACACGUGGGAGCUAACAAGUCUGCCAGAAGGACAUAGCCCGAUUGGUGUCAAGUGGGUGUACAAGACGAAGACCAACAAAGAAGGAAAAGUAGAGAAAUACAAGGCAAGACUAGUCGCCAAAGGCUACAAGCAAAGACAAGGAGUGGACUAUGAUGAAAUAUUUGCUCCAGUCGCAAGAAUAGACACAAUUAGGCUUCUCAUAGCGGUCGCAGCACAAUACAAAUGGAAAAUCUAUCAGAUGGACGUCAAGUCUGCAUUCCUGAAUGGCUACUUGGAGGAGGAAGUCUACAUAGAACAACCACCUGGAUAUAGCAUACAAGGAAAGGAGGACAAAGUCUACCGAUUAAAGAAAGCUUUGUAUGGAUUGAAGCAAGCCCCAAGAGCAUGGAACACAAGGAUCGACGAGUACUUCCGAAGAAAUGGAUUCAUCAAAAGCCCGCACGAGCACACCCUGUACACAAAGAAGAAUGGAUAUGGAGAUAUCAUGAUCGUAUGCCUAUAUGUGGAUGACAUGAUCUUCACCGGAAACAAUCCAGGUAUGUCUGAUGAUUUCAAGAAAGCUAUGACUAAAGAAUUUGAAAUGACAGAUAUCGGUGAGAUGUCAUACUUUCUUGGAGUCGAGGUGAAACAAAUGCAAGAUGGAAUUUUUGUCUCUCAAAAGAAGUAUGCGGAGCAGAUUUUGAACAAGUUCAAAAUGAAGGAUUGCAAGCCAGUAGUCACGCCAGCUGAUCCAGGGAUGAAGCUAAGUGUUGAUUCGACAAGGGAGUCGAUAAAUCCGACGUUGUUUAAAAGUCUCGUUGGAAGUUUAAGGUAUUUGACAAUCACACGACCAGAUAUUACAUAUGCAGUAGGAUUGGUGAGCAGAUUCAUGGAGAAGCCGAAGCAAGACCACUUAAUUGCCGCAAAAAGAAUUUUGAGAUAUAUCAAAGGUACGAUGAACCAUGGUUUAUUCUAUACCCACUCACAAGAUUCAAAAUUAGUUGGCUACUCAGAUAGCGAUUAUGGGGGAGACUUGGAUGAUCGGAAAAGCACUUCCGGAUAUGCAUUCCACAUCAAUUCCGCAGUUUUUUCAUGGUCGUCAAAGAAGCAACAAACAAUUGCUCUCUCAACAUGUGAAGCAGAGUAUAUGGCCGCAGCAACUUGUACAUGCCAAGCAAUGUGGUUGAAGAAUAUUUUGGGAGAAAUAGGUGUUUCAAAUGAAGGUCCAAUUACCAUCUACGUUGACAACAAAUCCGCUAUAUCACUUGCCAAGAAUCCGGUGUCGCACAGCCGAAGCAAGCACAUCGAUACGAAGUAUCAUUUUAUCCGAGAGCAAGUGAAAAACAAAAACGUGGAGUUGGUCCAUUGCAGGACAGAAGAUCAACUGGCAGAUAUUUUCACAAAGCCGUUGAAAGUGGAGACAUUCAACAAAUUCAAAGAGAAGCUCGGUAUGAAAGUUGGGUUUGAGGGGGAGUGUUAGAAAUCAAACCCACUCCAAGCAUAAUCUAGAAGCAUGAGACGUGGAGCAAUUUUGUGCCAUGCAAAGUGCUGAAAUUUUAGCCAUACAAAGUGCUCCAUUAUUGAGAUGUUUUGUGGCUGGAAAUUAAGUGGAUUAAUAGCCACAUUUGUUGUCACUUUAUCAGCCUAUAAAUAGAGGCUUGAACUUGUGUUGUAAAAAAGAAGAAAAAUGAGAAGAAAAAAGAAAUAAGAGAAGCAACGUGAGUGAGAGUGAGAAGGUUAGCAAACCUUGAGUGAGUUAAAAUCUAGCAGCAGCUAGACUAUCUAGUCAUUGAGAAAAUAUUUGUAAUCUUCGUAUUGUAAUAUAUUGAGUGUGUAAUAAAAAGUAAAUUUUCGGCCCAUCACGUUUCCAACAUAGCAUCCCUUGGACCCAGUGUGGUAUAAUUCUAAUCUCAAAUAUUUACUAGCAACACAAUAAGAUACUGGUUUGUGGGAUCAAUUGGUCAAAGAUAUUGCAAUGAUAGCCAUCUUUUUAAGUCCAUUUCUUUCAGAAAACUGUUUUGUCACUCUUUUCUGCAAGAUCCGAAGAAAGAAAGAACUUGGAAAUCUAUAGUCCAAAAGUGUAAAUAUGCGGUUUCUCUAUAGGUAUCUUUAUUAUGGCAUCUGUAAAGUUUGUCUUUCAUAUGUUUGAGUAACGCUUCUUCUUCCAUAUGUAGGUUCGUUUACUUAUACUACCAAAUCUUGAAGCGUAUUUGCAGCUUUUUGAACCUGAAAUAAAAAGACACGAGGCCUGGUGUGUUUAUGGGGCACUGCUGGUAAGUUUAACAUCAAAUUUGGUACCAGUUUAUGAGCAUCGUUUCAUUUAUUUGCUGUAGAACUAACAACACUGCAUAAAAUUUCCACUAACAGCGUGCAGCUGGACUGUGCAUGUAUGAUCGGCUUAAAAUGUUACCCAGUUUGCUAGCACCCUCAACUCGUCCCGUCUGGAAAAGCAACACCAAAGUUGCGACAAGUAUGAUUUCUUCGAACCAUCAUAUUUACACUUAAUCCACAAAUCUCUUCUCCCCCUUUACGAUAUUCCUUUUUCUGAUCAAUCAAGAUAAACGAAAAGCAAGCACGGACACCUUGAUGCAGCAGCAACCAACUGCCAAGAAAAUAGCAACUGAGAGUGCAAUAGGUAUGAUGCCGAUAAAUUCCAUGCAAACUGAUUUACAAGGGGCAGUUAGCGGCUUUUCUACCACCGUAGGAGGUUCCAGUAUCUGUGUAUCAUCAAUGUCACGGCCGUUAUCAAACGAUAACAUGCUUGGAAGGGAGGUUGGGGGUCGAGUUUCAAAGACAUCAACCGUUCUAGCUCAGGCUUGGAACCGGGGAACUUGUUAGCAUCAUUAUUUGAACUUUUUGGUGAAAGUAUGUUAUCAUUUACUCCCAAACCUGAGCUUUCAUUCUUCCUUUGAUUAAAUUUCACCUCCAAAAGCUAUGGUUUUUGAAGGAAUUUGUGUAAUUAAUCCCCAUAGUUUUUUUCAGUCUUACUGUGUUUAUCUUUAUAAGUCUUCUUUCUUUUUUUUCCUUGCUCAUAAAUGUAUUGUAGUUAUCAAAAAAUAUAUUCUACUUUGGAUUUUAUUUAUAUUAAAUUUUACGUUAAAUUCUGCUAUUAGUCUCUGUACUUUACGAAAAUGAUGGAUUUAGUCCUUAUACCUUAAUUUGAUCAAUUUUAGUCAUUGUAUUUUUUGAAUUGGUCAAUUUUAAACUAUCUACCUUUUAAAUUUUGAAAUUUUAGUCUUGACCCAAAUAAUAAUAAUAAUAAUAAUUAAAUCUGCUUAUUUAAAUUCAAUUAUUAGUUUUGUAUUAUGUAGACAGAUAUAGAUUUAAUCCAUAUUUUUCAAUUGGGUCAUUCCAAGUCUUUAUACUUUUCAAAUUUUGAAAUUUCAAUAUUGAUGCAGAACGAGAGUUGUUAUUAAUUAAUUGAUUAUUUAGCAAGUAUAUGUAGAAAUAACAAGUUGGCAUGUCAUUAUACUUAAAAAAAUAUAUUGGCUUAACCCACCUAAAUUAUGUCUUUUUUUCCAUCUUCGGACCUCAAUUUUUUUAGGGUCAUAAGUGGUACCUAAACUACUUUUUUUCUCCUUCAAAUUAGUAUCUUCAUUAGUUAAACCGUUAAGUCUAUUUAAAAAAGAAAGACUCGAACAACAAAUUAAUACCUAAAACAAUGCUCUUUUUCCCAAUGUAUCUAAUUUUUAUUUUGGCCAUAAGUACUACUAAAACUAUUCUUCCGUUACUCGUUUUACACAAAAUGUUAUAUCGGCUAAAAAGAUUGCAACAAAUAAUAGAUUGUAUGUCAUAUAAACUUUUAAAAAUAAUUAUUAAUUAAUUAUUUUUUAUAUUUUUCUUUCUUAUUCCUUUAUAAUGUUUGACAAUGCCGAUAAUGUUUGAAAUUGGCCCACUUGAGGUCGAAACGCUGGUGAUUAAUUUUGGUUUUGAAUUUCACCACCUAUUUCUCUGACCUGAGGGGAUAAAAAAUGUUCUUUCAUUGAUCAAAACUAGUGUUUUCAAAAACAGACUGAUUCAACCGGAAAUAGGGGUUGAAUCAUUGACUUGCGAGCAAAAACAAAUCAGUUGAACUAAGCUAAAAAAAACUAGUUGAACUAGUUCUCUCUAUUUAUAUAUAUAAAAAUAAUAAUAGUCUUUUUUUUAUUACAUGUCAAUUUUUAUUUGGUUAUUUUUUUUUCAUAUAAACUGAACGGUUUGACUAAUGACGGAGGUACCAAAUUAUAGUCUAGGUACCAAUUUAUGGGUUAAGCCUAUUUCUAAAAUAGACUUUUGACUAAUGGCGGUAGUAACUUGGGAAAAAAAAGUAGUUUAUGUACCACUUGUGACCAAAAAUAAGUUUAGGUACCAACAUCGUAAAAUGAGUAUAAUUUAGAUACCGAUUUAUGAGUUAAGCCUAAUAUAUUUGUCGCAUCAUUUUUUAAAAAUAACAGAACUUAAUAAAUUUAACGAUUAUUGUUUGAUGAUGACUAAAAUUUUAAAAUUUGAAAAGUACAUGAACUAAAAAUGACCAAAUUAAAGUAUAAAGAUUAAGUCCACAACUUUUGCAAAGUACAAGGACUAAUAGCAGAAAUUAACCUAAAUUUCAUAUGGGUCAAUUACAAAAAUAAUCACUAAGCUAUUCCUUUGGUUCUAUUCUAGUCAUUCAACUAUAGAGGUGCUCAUGAGUUGGGCCAGGUCAGGCCUAAGGAUGAUAUUAACGUACUUUAUACUUGCUCAAGCUUGGCUCGGCCCGAAAUAUGAGCUUAAAUUUUCACCUAAACUCAUCCAUAUUUGCAAAAGACUAACGCAAGCUCAUUUUAGGCAUGCUUAUAUAAUUUUUAGUUUUUGUUUAAAUAUUUAUAUUAUAUUAUUUUAAUAUUUAAUAAUUUAAACAUUUUUUAUUUAUUGAAAAUUUUUAUAUAGUCAUCUAAUUAACAUUAUUUUAAUGUUUACAUUAUAGUAUUAUUAUAUAUUUAAUAUAAGUUUAUUUUUUAAUCUGUUCUAAAUUUUAUAAUAUAAAGUAUUAUACACUUAAAAAUGGGCCGGGCUGGGCUCGAGCUUUGAAUGUUCAAGCCUGAACCCAGCCCAAAUUUUAAACGGGCCUAUUUUUUUUUUACCCAAACCUAAUUUUUGGGCCUAAUAUUUUUAUCCAGACCCUCCCAAAUUUUUGGACCUUGCCAAGUAGCCCAACUCAUUAACAAGUUUACUCAACUAUUAAUUUUUUCGAUUUAGUUGUUAACCUUUUCGAAAGUAAAUAUUUUAGUCACUCUCCUGUUAGUUGUUGCUAAAUGAGUGACGGAAAGCUAAUGUGGGUUUUUUUUAUUAGUCUAAUAACAAAUUUAGCCCUAAAUGUUAACAAAACUUGUCAUUUUAGUUCAAAUUCUAAAAAUUUUAAUAAAUUUAACCCUUAAUAUUUUCAAAAAUUAGCAAUUUAGUUCUAAUUCUAAAAAUUUUAAUAUAUAUUUAAAAAAAUAUUUUUAAUCCUCUGUCUCACCCUUUGAUUUUUUUAGAUGAGCUAAAAUCAAAACAUAUCGUUAUAUCUUUUUGUUUUAAUGCUAAAAGAGAUAAAAAAAAUGAAAAGCUAAAAUGACUUUUCGUUUGUAAAGUUAAAAAAUGCUAAAUAAAUCAUUAUGUCUUUUUAGUUUUAAUUUUUUACUUGAUUAAAAGAGAAAUAAUUAACGAAUAAAAAAUAAUUAUUCCCAAAUAAAUUUAUCAAAAUUUAUAAUAAAUGAGAUUUUGAAUUUAUCAAAAUAUAUAUAAGUAUACACAUUUUUAUGAAAUAUAAGAUUUUGCUAAAAGAAAAAGCAUACAAAAGUAUACACCUUUUUAUGAAACACAAGAUUUUGCUAAAAGAAAAAUAUAUGGUAAAAGGAAGACUAAGUGGUGGUUAAAAAAUACAAAAAAUUUUGAAAAUCUAAUAUCCAUAACUUUUCAAUGUAAAAGAAAAACAGACUGUAACACCAAUGUUGUGGUUUUAUUUGUUGCCUAUAAAUGCCAUUCCUAUCCUUCAUCUUCCUCUACCAACAUAACAUGGCCUCCUAUCUCUUUCUCUGCCUAUUCCUCUUCUUUCCCCAUCUUUAUGCUUCUUUUUCUUCUUCAGGAUCUCACUCCUGCUCUUCACUAACCCAGUUCAAGAAUUCUUUUUCCAUCACUCAGACAGAGGGUGCUUCUUUGUCUUGCAAUGAGAUUGCUGGCCUUAAAUCUUAUCCCAAGACAAAUUCAUGGAAGGAGGGUACAGAUUGCUGCUCAUGGGAUGGGGUCACUUGUGACCACCUAAAUGCUCAUGGUAUUGCCCUUGACUUGAGCUGCAGUUGGCUAUAUGGCAACUUCCCUCCCAAUACCACUCUCUUCCUUCUUCCUCACCUUCAAAAACUCAACCUUGCCUUCAAUGAUUUUAAUCUUUCCAAAAUUCCAUCCGAGUUCGGUGGGUUUACAAGCCUAUUCUACCUCAACCUUUCUCAUACAGGGUUUGCAGGACAAGUCCCAUCCCAAGUCUCCCACCUGUCAAAAUUGGUUUCACUUGAUAUCUCCUCUUCGAUUUAUGACUAUGAGAAAUUUACAAUUGACAAACAUGCUCUGGAGGGACUUGUUCACAACCUAUCCGAGGUCAGACAUCUGUUUUUGGAUGGAAUGGACAUGUCUUCUGUUAAUGCUCAUGUCUUCAUGAAUCUAUCCUCUUCUCUAAGGUCUCUCAGUCUUGCUUAUUGUGAUUUGCAAGGAAAAUUCCCAAAAAACAUUUUUGAUUUGCCAAACCUCAAUCUCCUCAACUUGGGAAGCAACCCAAUCCUCAGUCUUGAUCCUUUGAAGUUGAAUCGGAGCAGCAAUCUUGAACAUUUGGAUCUGUCGUCCAUGUCCUUCUCUACAGAAUUCAUUGAUUCAGUUGAUAAUCUACAGGCCUUAAAGUACUUAGAUCUAUCAGGACAUUUUUUCUCUCAACGAUUGUCUGUCUCAAAAACAAAAUCGGGGUACUUGUUUACUGGAGACGCAAAUUUUUUUGGAGGAUUGCCUGACUCGAUGGGGAAUCUUGUGUCUUUGAAGUUUUUAGAUCUCUCCUAUUCCAACUUAUCAGGAACGGUUCCAAGAUCACUGGGGAAUCUCUUGCAACUCACUCAUUUAGACUUGUCGGGGAACCAAUUUAGUGGACAAAUUCCAUCGUCAAUUCUAAACCUAACGCAGUUGGAAUACUUGAAAAUAUCUGAAAAUUCAUUAGAAGGUUCCAUUCCAGAUGAGGUAACCGCUUUUCCUAAUUUAAUAUAUUUAUACUUAGAUAACAAUUUACUUAAUGGAAUACUUCCGUCAUGGUUGUAUACUGCUCCCCCCUUAAAGAGAAUAGAUCUCUCUAAAAAUCAAUUCAGUGGACAUAUCAAAGAAUUCCAAUCCAAAUCACUAGAAUUGAUAUGGUUAGAGAAUAAUAAACUCCAAGGUCCUCUUCCAUCUUCAAUAUUCCAACUUCUCAAUCUUACCGGACUCAAGUUAUCCUCAAAUAAUCUUAGUGGUGUCAUAGAGUUUAGCAUGUUCUCAAACCUUCCAAAUCUCGAAUAUCUUGACCUUUCAUAUAACAGCCUAUCCUUAACAUCUAAUACUACUUCUACUGUUAAUCUUACAAGCUUAUUUUUGUCAUCUUGCAAUCUUAGUGAAUUCCCCCAAUUUUUGAAAGGGCUUAAAAGUUUGGAAAGCUUAGACCUCUCUUGCAACAAAAUUGAAGGCAAGAUUCCACAGUGGAUGCAAGAGGUGGGGAAUGGCUCUUUGACUUACUUAAAUGUAUCUCACAACUCUUUGACAGAAGUUGAGCACUUUCCAUGGAAUAAUAUUGCAGUUCUUGACUUAAGCUCCAAUUUGAUCCGUGGAAAUCUUCCGAUUCCAGCUUCGACCAUAAGAGUCUUUUUGAUCUCAAAUAAUAGUUUCAAUGGAGAGGUCUCUUCUUUAAUAUGCAAUGCCACUUAUCUUCAAAUUCUUGAUUUGUCCCACAAUUACUUGAGUGGAUCAAUUCCGCAAUGUUUUGGAAAUUUGAGCUACUGGCUUGAAUUCUUGAAUCUGAAGAAGAAGUUUUAUGGGACGAUUCCUCCAGCAUUCGCAAAGGGAUGCCAAUUGAGUAAUUUCAACUUAAAUGGAAAUCUGUUAGAAGGGCCUUUGACACCAUCCAUCCUUAAUUGUAGAGGUCUGGAAGUGCUAGAUCUUGGUAACAACAAGAUCAAUGAUACAUUUCCUCAUUGGUUGGGCAGUCUUCCAUUUUUGCAAGUUCUUGUAUUGAAGGCUAUCAUAAAUCUAGAGAAGAUUGGGAGUACAAUGUCGUACAUGGGGGUGAAUUGUCCUGGAAGUGGCUUCUAUACCUAUUCCAUUGGAAUUGUUAUGAAAGGACAAGAUAUGGACUUGGUGAAAAUUUUCACCAUGUGGAUGAUCAUUGAUCUAUCAAACAAUCAGUUUGAAGGGGGUAUUCCAGAGGUUUUUGGGAAGCUUAACUUACUGAAAGGGCUCAACCUUUCUCAUAAUAACCUUAAUGGUGGUAUCCCCACCUCAAUAGGGAAUUUGACAAGUCUUGAAUGGUUGGACCUAUCUUCAAACAGGUUGUCUGGGACGAUUCCAAAUAGAUUGGCAGAUCUGCCAUUUCUUUCGUCCUUCAAUGUUUCUGAAAAUAAACUCCAUGGUCAGAUUCCUCAAGGCAAACAGUUAAACACAUUUGGAAAUGAUUCAUAUGAAGGAAACAAGGGAAAAUAAACUCCAUGGUCAGAUUCCUCAAGGCAAACAGUUCAACACAUUUGGAAAUGAUUCAUAUGAAGGAAACAAGGGAUUAUGUGGAUUUCCGGUCUCAAAAGGUUGCAACAUCAUUGAGCCACCACCUCCAAAUGUGCUUGAAAAAGAUGGCUCAAAAUCAAACAUUACUUUUGGUUGGAAAGUGGUGUUGAUAGGUUAUGGAUGCGGAGUGGUGUUCGGAAUGUCCGUGGGAUAUGUUGUUUUCCAAACUGGUAAGCCGAAAUGGUUGGUGAAUUUGUUGAAAUCCAACAUGAGAAGAAGCGAAGAAGAAAGUCAAAGGAUGGCAGUCGCAGAAAUGGACGAAGAAGGAUCUAGUUAGUGGAAAUGAUGUUCAAGUGUUGAUGUUGUAUCUUCAUAAUUUCUUGUUUUGAAGUCUUUCAAUUUUUUUCCUAUGGUGAAAGGUUGCAUUGGCAUGCAUCUGUCUUUGUUAUUGUGACAAUUCAUCUAUAUUUCAUUGCAUUACAUAGUAUUUGUAAGGGUUUGUUUUAAAUGUAACAUUUUGUAUGGUUCAACUAUUUAUGUCUUCUUUCAUGACUUUCAUUUUUGAGUCUCAAUAAUCUCUGCAUUCAAGAUUUUGUCAGCUUAUUAAUUGGUAAAAAUUAUAUGAAUAAACUUUUAUAAAUAUAAAUAUGAAUAAACUUUUAUAAAUAUAAAGUGUAAUUUAUGAGUCGAGUUAUUCAAUAAGAAAAAAAAACCCUCAUUUCAAUGUUCAAUAUAUAUGAAAUUCUACAAAAUUAAUUUCUUCUAAUAUUUUUACUUUUUGUGAUUAAGUUUAAAAUACUUUUCAAUUACUAAAUCUUAGUCCGAGCCAACCUAUUGGCUCGACUAACUAUUUAGAAAAUAUAAUAUGUUUAUAUUAAAAAUUUUAUAUUUAAAUAAAAAUUCAAGACGAGUUGUCUAGAAUUUGUGAAAAUGCUGUCCACGACCUAGCACAUAUUGGACAAUCCUAUUGAACUAGGUAGGUAGUGUGAGCUUGCCUUGAAAGUGCUAAUAAAUCCAAUUGAGUCAAGACUUAAGACUUCUUAUUCAACUUUAGACCCAAAUUGGGUAAUCAUAUUAGACGGAUAGUUUGAUACUUAAAUAUAUCUAAUCACAAUAUAUAUAAUUAAAUGAGCAAACAUAAAACCUUGGUUCUAAAACUCCAUGCUUCCUCUUUUGUUAACUUUAUGUUUAACUCUUCGGCCAACUUUUUCAAAUGUUGUAAGGUUCCCACUGUCAGUAUUAUACCAUUUUGAUCUCCACUAUUACAUUAUAAUCAUAUUAAAAAAAUAAAAAAAAUAGAAAAAAAUCAGUCAAAUGGCAUGAUAAUUUCUUUUCAAAAUUGUUCACUUUGAUUCUUCAUACAUAUUUAACUUAUUUCAAGAAAGUAUUGGAAAAAAUUAUGGCAUACAAAUAUAAUACUAACCUGAAUAUUGUAAUGGGAAUGGCUUGUUGAAGAAGGUUUUUAAGUGCAGGGAGCAUGUCAAGGUCCUUAUCAGCUUCGUUGUAUUUAAAAUUAGUUCUAAAAAAAUAAGAGUGAAAUAUAAUGAAAAUUUUAAGGCUAGCAAUUUUUACACGACAUUCACCUCAAUAAACAAGUAAUUUAUUUUAUUUUCUUAAGAAAUAGGUGACAAUAUAGAAAGAGAAAAAUUGACCGCGAGUUUUAAAACUUGAAUUUAAAAUAAUUUCUAAAAAGUAUUUAUAUGAAUAUAUUGGAAAAAAAGUUCAUCUUGUCUCAAAUUUUAGGGGAAAACUUACGUGAAAUAACCCUUCCAUCUAUAUGACAAGUUGGUUCGAAUCCCAUGGAAAGCUUUUUGAACUUCUGAAAGAAUAAAGUAAAAUUGCACUCUUAAUGGAAGACACAUGUCUACUUCUGUGCUAACUAUAAGAACCAAUACUAAAAAAUAAAGUUUUACGCUUUUGAUAUAACCAAUAAAAGAAAAAUAACACAAAAUCAAUUUUACUCAAUUGAUCAGUUAAUUCAAUUCUAUAGGAACUUAUGUUAUAUGUAGUUUCGAGUUGAAGUAAAAUAAGAGGAAUGUAAAGAACUAAAUGAAAACAUGUUUUCCCAAGUCCAAAUCUAGCUCAUUUUCAGCAUUAGGAGGGCGAAAGACAACAAAUAGCUUUUGUCAGGAGUAAUUAUGAGCAUUGGUCUUGAAAGUAGCCAAACCGGCCUCGAACUCAAGGUUUUUGCAUUUUGCGCUUCAAGUGGUUGCAGCAUCAAUGAGACACGACCUCCAAAUGUGCUGGAAAAGGAUGGCUCAAAAGCAAACAUUGCUUUUGGUUGGAAAGUGGUGUUGGUAGGUUAUGGAUGCCGGGUAGUGUUUGGAAUGGCCAUGGGAUGUGUUGUUUUCCAAACUGGUAAGGCAAAAAGGUUCGUGAAUUUGGUUGAAGACCAACAUGAGAAGAGGCGAAGAAGAAAGCCAAAAUAUAGCAAUAUCGCAUCAAUGGAUGAAGAAGGAUCUAGUUGGUUCAAAUGAAGUUAAAGCAUUUGUGCUGUGUCUGCAUAAUUUCUUGUUUAGUAGUCUGUCAGAAAGUUUUUCCUAUGGUGAAAAGUUGCAUUGGUAUGUGUCUGUUUUUAUGAUUGUACCAAUUCCUCUGUAUUUCAUUGCAUUUCGUACUAUUUGUAAGGAUUUAGUUCUAGUGUAACAUCUUGUAUGGUGCAACUAUGUAUGUCUUCUUUCUUGAAUUUCAAUUUUUAGUAAACAUUAUACUGCUCAACAUAAAAAAAAUACAUGUAGAAUUACAAAAGAUUCAAUUAUUCAAGUUCGAGUUGCAUUUAUAAACACGUGACGAUGAGAAUUCAUGAUGUGUUAUAAGCAAGAAGACUUUGUAAUCUCAUGAAUGUUAAUUAUUUUACUUCUUUGGUAAAAAAAAGUAAUCAAUCUUAUGAAUGAAAAAUAUAGGGUAAAGAGGAAGUAGUUGUUAACCUUUUCGAUUUAGUUGUUAACCUUUUCGAAAGUAAAUAUUUUAGUCACUCUCUUGUUAGUUGUUGUUAAAUGAGUGACCAAAAGCUGAUGUGGGCUUUUUUUAUUAGUCUAAUAACAAAUUUAGGCCUCCAAUGUUUACACAUUCUAUCAAUUUGAUCCUAGAUAUAAAAAAAAUCAACAAAUUUAGCCCUGAAUGUUAACAAAACUUGUGAUUUUAGUUCAAAUUCUAAAAAAUUUAAUAAAUUUAACCCUUAAUAUUUUCAAAAAUUAGCAAUUUAGUUCUAAUUCUAAAAAUUUUAAUAUAUAUAUAUUUUAAAAAAUAUUUUUAAUCCUCUGUCUCACCCUUUGAUUUUUUAGAUGAGCAAAAAUCAAAAUAUAUCAUUAUGUCUUUUUGUUUUAAAGCUAAAAGAGAUAAAAAAAAUGAAAAGCUAAAAUGACUUUUCGUUUGUAAAGUUAAAAAAUGCUAAAUAAAUCAUUAUGUCUUUUUAAUUUUAAUUUUUUACUUGAUUAAAAGAGAAAUAAUUAACGAAAGAAAAAUAAUUAUUCCCAAAUAAAUUUAUCAGGUUUUAGAUUUAAAUUAUGAGGCUAUAUAUAUAUAUAAGUAUACACAUUUUUAUGAAAUACAAGAUUUUGCUAAAAGAAAAAGCAUCCAAUUUUAAGAAUGAAAAAUAUAAAUCCUUUCAUUUUGAAUUGCAACUUUAUCCUGCCUAAAUUCCUCAACCAUGAACCACCCAUCAGGGCAGCCUCAAAAUGAACUUCCUUGGUCCGCCGGAUUCUGCGAUUGUUGCUCUGACCUGAAAACUUGUAACCCUUUCUUCUUUCUUCAAAAUCAGUUGUGUCAUUUUAAAUAUAUGAAUUAGUUUAUCAAUUAAAUAUAUGGACAUUUCAGGUUGCAUUUCAUACUGUUGCCCAUGCAUCACCUUUGGCCAGAUUGCUGAGAUUGUUGAUAAAGGGUCGACUUGUAAGUUAUUAAUUUCUAAAUUGAAAUCUUAUCAUCUUAGGUUUGCAGACAUAUAUAUAUUUAAAGAGAUAUUAUGUAAUUAAUAAUAAUGUUGAAAAACACUGUUGGAUGGUGCAGCAUGUGGGGCAAGUGGGGCAGUAUACACAUUAAUAAUGUUCAUCACCGGGUGUGGGUGCUUAUAUUCUUGCUGCUACCGAUCCAAACUGAGAAAGCAGUAUAACUUGAAAGGAGGCCAUUGUGGCGAUUGCAUGCGUCAUUUCUGCUGCGAGCCUUGUGCUUUGACACAAGAGUAUCGUGAGCUCCAGAACCGUGGAUUCGACAUGUCUAUCGGUAUGUCUACAUACCAAUAUUAUACCCCUUUUAAUUAUUCUUAAUAUAACUUCAAGUAUAUUAAUUGAGUAGCUGUAAACAAAUAUCUCCGAAUAAAUAUGUUAGUAAUGAUGAGAUAAAUUAUUGUUUGAGGUCAUUAAUUUUGUGGGGGUAUAUUUAUAUAUGCAGGUUGGCAUGCAAAUGUGGGAAGAACCCAGGGCUGGCAAUGGCUCCAGCGGUAGAAAAAGGCAUGAGCAAAUAGAUGAUGAUGAUGAUCGCUGCAUUAAUAUCGUCUUUAUAUGUAACACUUAAUUCCUUUGCUUUCCAUAAUUGGUGCCAAUUGGAUUUCAAGUUAUGUAUGUUUGUGAUUGUCAAAAUGUGACUCUGUUAAAUAGUAAAUAGCAUUUUUUAAAAGGGUUCAUAUAUAUCGUGAUACCUAAAGUUGGCAACUUCUACUUUGUAUCAAAAUCGGUACAUAAACUUGAAAAUUGUAAGUCAACUUGGUAUCGGUACAUAAACUUGAAAAUUGUAAGUCAACUUGGUAUUUUUAUAAGUAUGAUGAUGUUGGUGUAGUGUGAGGAAGAAGACUUGAAUGGGUUUGAUUAUUUUUAAUAAUACAGGAAUUUACGUAUUAUAAGUAAAUAGACACUCACAUUCUUUACGUAUUAUAAGGAAGAAGACUAAGUCAAUCUACUUUGUAAUCUCAUCAAUCUUAAUUUUCUCAAUUGUUCAGGGAGUUCAAAUGAAAUACAAAAUUUUGGUAAAAAAAUGUAUCCAAUUUUGUGAAUGAAAAAUAUAUGGUAAAAAAGAUUUGGUAUCAAUACUUCGGCGCGGGUAUCAAUACUCGAUACAUUGCUUUUGGUUGGAAAGUAGUGUUUGGAAUGGCCAUGGGAUGUGUUGUUUUCCAAACCGGUAAGGCGAAAAGGUUUGUGAAUUUGGUUGAAGACCAACAUGAGAAGAGGCGAAGAAGAAAACCAAAAUAUAGCAAUCGCAUCAAUGGAUGAAGAAGGAUCUAGUUGGUGCAAAUGAAGUUAAAGCCUUUCUGCUGUGUCUUCAUAAUUUCUUGUUUAGUAGUCUGUCAGAAAGUUUUUCCUAUGGUGAAAAGUUGCAUUGGUAUGUGUCUGUCUUUAUGAUUGUACCAAUUCCUCUGUAUUUCAUUGCAUUUUGUACUAUUUGUAAGGGUUUAGUUCGAGUGUAACAUCUUGUAUGGUGCAACUAUGUAUGUCUUCUUUCUUGAAUUUCAAUUUUUAGUAAACAUUAUACUGCUCACCAUAAAAAAAGAUACAUGAAGAAUUACAAAAUAUUCAAUUAUUCAAGUUCGAGUUGCAUUUAUAAACACGUGAUGAUGAUGAGAAUUCAUGAACAUAAGGUAUGGUUUGAGCCCUUUUGCCAUAUGCAUUUAUGUUGCAGGCGUUCAAACAUGGAAUAAUUCAACCUGCCUUUGUGUAUUCUUAAUUUUGUGCCAAACCUAUAUAUCUAUCGACAAAUUUAAGAAAAAUAUUUACAAUAGCAUUGCAGAGUAACAUAUUUAAGAUUGGAUUACACUGUCAAAAGAUUGCAGCAACGAUGAGAUUAAUCCAAUUACAGGAAUUGAUAUCCUAAAUGGCUUUUAGGUACGUAGCUUCAUUGACGGUACAAACGAGUUAAAAAUUCCAGCAUUCAUGUCUUUGUUUUCCCUCAAGUAAACGUAGUCAAUACUGCAAAUGGUGUGGAAGUAUUGUACAUUGUGGCCCAAAUGUCCAAAAUUUCCACAUUGCUUGUAAGUUAAGUUUGGAUGAGAGAGAUAGGAGGAAGCAACAGCAAGUGUGAAGUCAAUAGACAAUUGAUAGUCUUAGUGUUUGUCUUUUUUUGUCGAGUUAAAGUGUAGUCAAUAGACAAUUGAUAGUCUUAGCCCUUUUUGUGGAGUUAAAUUUAUAGUCAAUAGACAAUUCGAGUGGAACAUCUUGUAUGGUGCAACUAUGUAUGUCUUCUUUCUUGAAUUUCAAUUUUAGUAAACAUUAUACUGCUCACCAUAAAAAAAAUACAUGUAGAAUUACAAAAGAUUCAAUUAUUCAAGCUGUUUGAGUUGCAUUUAUAAACACGUGACGAUGAGAAUUCAUGAACAUAAGGUAUGGUUUGAGCCCUUUUGCCAUAUGCAUUUAUGUUGCAGAUGUUCAAACAUGGAAUAAUUCAACCUGCCAUAAGCAAGUGUGAAGUCAAUAGACAAUUGAUAGUCUUAGUCUUUGUCUUUUUUUGUCUGAGUUAAAGUGUAGUCAAUAGACAAUUGAUAGUCUUAGCCCUUUUUGUGGAGUUAAAUUUAUAGUCAAUAGACAAUUGGGACCAAACUUGACCUGUUAUAAGGAAGAAGACUUUGUAAUCUCACCAAUGUUAAUUAUUUUACUUCUUUGGUAAAAAAAAGUAAUUAAUUUUAUGAAUGAAAAAUAUACGGUAAAGAGGAAGUAGUUGUUGAUCACUAAUAACAUGAUGAUUGUGGAAAUACAAAAAAUCCCAUAUAUGUGUUGAAUUCUGCAUAAUGUAAAUGUCCCGCAUUGCAUGUGAAUUCUGCAAUAGACCAAACUUUAUGUGUUAUAGUCCUUUAAACUGAGUUAAUGAAAAGUAACCAUUCUUAUCAAAAUUAGUUAUACUCUUAAUUUAUAACAAAGAAAGGAGUAAUUUGAGUUUAACUCAAAGGUUAAUAUGUCAUCAAUGGGCGAUGGCGUGGUGCUACCAUGUCAGCCAUUAUUUUCUUCUUUGAGUUAAGGUGAUUUCACCAAUUUAAGUUUACUUUUUUACUUCAAUUUAGGUUUAUGCUUAUUACCUUCGAAGAUUCUAAGUGGGUGCCACAACCAAAGGGUGAGUAAAAAGGGUUAAAAAUAAUUUUUUUAAAAAUAUUUUUAUUUUUAUUAAAAAUUUAGAAUUAGAAUUAGAUAAAUUUUGUAAAUGUUAAGGGCUAACUUUAUUAAUUUUUUUUUCAUAAUUCGAACUAAAAUGACAAAUUUUGUAAAAAGCGCUAAAUUAGUUGAAUUUUUUAUAUUUAGGAUUAAAUUGAUAGAAUGUGUAAAUAUUAGAGGUUAAAAUUGUUAUUAGAUCAAUAAAAAACCCAUAUCAGCUUUCCGUCACUCAUCUAUCUACAACUAAAGGGAGAGCGAUUAAAAAAUUAGAAUGUUUGGAUCAUUUUUCUAAUUAAAGUCAUAGUGUAGGAGGCAAUUAAAUGCAUGCGCCACUCACGGUGGACGGUUUUGACAGCUGAUGACGUUGACAGUGCUCUUAAUCUGAGAAACGUGGAGGUACAUUUUCAAGUUUCAAAAAUUUUCUGUUUAUUGUAUUUUUUUAUUAUUCUUUUUCCUUUUUAGUUGAAAAUAGUGCUAAUUAAUGUUAUUUGUUUGACUAAUGUGAUAAUUUCUACUUCAUGUGUAUUAAUCCAUAAAUUUUAACAAGAGUGGAAUUUUGAGAACUUAGUUUUGGAAGUUUGAAUCUUAAGUUUAACCUGCUGCUUUAGAUUUUGCAUUUUGGUUAACUGGCUUGUGUUAUGUGUUUCUCUGGCAUCAGCCGAUAUGUGGAUUUGCCCCUCGUGAUGCACUACGAUUCAAGAAAGCUGCUGGGCAUAAGGAUUUGUUCUACAUUGAUGACAAAGAUGUGGAGUUUAAAGAAGUAGGAACUUAUCAACAAUAUUCGAGAUUCUGUUAUAUGUUGCCUUAUGUAUGUAGGUUCUUGAGUCACCUUUGCCAAGAGCACCACGUGAAUUUAUAUAAGUAUACACAUUUUUAUGAAAUACAAGAUCUUGCUAAAAGAAAAAGCAUAUAAAAGUAUAAACGUUUUUAUGAAAUACAAGAUUUUGCUAAAAGAAAAAGCAUCCAAUUUUAAGAAUGAAAAAUAUAUGGUAAAAGCAUCCAUAACUUUUCAAUGUAAAAGACAAAAAAGACUGUAACACCAAUGUUGUGGUAUUAUUUGUUGCCUAUAAAUACCAUUCCUAUCCUUCUUCUUCCUCUACAAACAUAACAUGGCCCCCUAUCUCUUUCUCUGCCUAUUCCUCUUCUUUCCCCAUCUUUAUGCUUCUUUUUCUUCUUCAGGAUCUCACUCCUGCUCUUCACUAAUCCAAUUUAAGGACUCUUUUUCCAUCACAGAGGAUGCUUCCUGGUAUUGCGAUGAGAUUGCUGGCCUUAAAUCUCAUCCCAAGACAGAUUCAUGGAAGGAGGGUACAGAUUGCUGCUCAUGGGAUGGGGUCACUUGUGACCACCUAAAUGCUCAUGUUAUUGCCCUUGACUUGAGCUGCAGUUGGCUAUCUGGCAACUUCCCUUCCAAUACCACUCUCUUCCUUCUUCCUCACCUUCAAAAACUCAACCUUGCCUACAAUCAUUUCAAUCAUUCCAAAAUUCCAUCCGAGUUCGGUCGGGUUUACAAGCCUAUUCUACCUCAACCUUUCUAAUACAUGGUUUGCAGGAGAAGUCCCAUCCCAAGUCUCGCACCUGUCAAAAUUGGUUUCACUUGAUCUCUCCUCUGAGUUUGGUGAACAAACAAUUGACAAACAUGCUCUGGAGGGACUUGUUCACAACCUAACCGAGGUCAGACAUCUGUUUUUGGAUGGAAUGGACAUGUCUUCUGUUAAUGCUCAUGUCUUCAUGAAUCUAUCCUCUUCUCUAAGGUCUCUCAGUCUUGCUUAUUGUGAUUUGCAAGGAAAAUUCCCAAAAAACAUUUUUGAUUUGCCAAACCUCAAUCUCCUCAACUUGAGAGGCAACCAAAACCUCAAUCUUGAUCCUUUGAAGUUCAAUCGGAGCAGCAAUCUUGAACAUUUGGAUCUGUCGUGGAUGUCCUCCUCUACAGAAUCCAUUGAUUCAGUUGAUAAUCUACAGGCCUUAAAGUACUUAGCUCUAUCAGGAAAUUCUUUCUUUCAACGAUUGUCUGUCUCAAUCACAAAAUUAUCUUAUUUGGAGUACUUGACACUUGAAGGCGCAAAUUUUUUUGGAGGAUUGCCUGACUCGAUGGGGAAUCUCGUGUCCUUGAAGUGUUUAGACUUGAGAUCAAACAAAUUGAGUGGACAAAUUCCAUUGUCAAUUCUAAACCUAACGCAGUUGGAAUACUUGGAUAUAUCUGAAAAUUCAUUAGAAGGUUCCAUUCCAGAUGAGGUAACCGCUUUUCCUAAUCUAAAACAUUUAGACUUAUCUGACAAUUUACUCAAUGGAACACUUCCGUCAUGGUUGUGUACUGUUCCCUCCUUAAAGAUAAUAUUUCUCUUUCAAAAUCAAUUCAGUGGGCAUAUCAAAGAAUUCCAAUCCAAAUCACUAGAAUUGAUAGUGUUACAGAAUAAUAAACUCCAAGGUCCUCUUCCAUCUUCAAUAUUCCAACUUCUCAAUCUUACAUCGCUUGCUUUAUCCUCAAAUAAUCUUAGUGGUGUCAUAGAGUUUAGCAUGUUCUCAAACCUUCCAAAUCUCGAAUAUCUUGACCUUUCAUAUAACAGCCUAUCCUUAACAUCUAAUACUACUUCUACUGUUAAUCAUAUAUUGCCUAAUCUUACAGACGUACUUUUGUCAUCUUGCAAUCUUAGUGAAUUCCCCCAAUUUUUGAAAGGGCUUAAAAGUUUGGAAAGGUUAGACCUCUCUUGCAACAAAAUUGAAGGCAAGAUUCCACAGUGGAUGCAAGAGGUGGGGAAUGUCUCUUUGACUUACUUCAACGUAUCUCACAACUCUUUGACAGAAGUUGAGCACUUUCCAUGGAAGAAUAUUGCAUUUCUUGACUUAAGCUCCAAUUUGGUCAGUGGAAAUCUUCCGAUUCCAGCUUCGACGAUCAGAGUCUUUCUGAUCUCAAAUAAUAGUUUCAAUGGAGAGGUCUCUUCUUUAAUAUGCAAUGCCAGUUCUCUUCAAAUUCUUGAUUUGUCCCACAAUAACUUGAGUGGAACAAUUCCGCAAUGUUUCGGAAAUUUGAGCGACAGCCUUGAAUUCUUGAAUCUGAAGAAGAACAAGUUUUAUGGGACGAUUCCUCCAACAUUUGCAGAGGGAUGCCAGUUGACUAAUUUCAACUUAAAUGGAAAUCUGUUAGAAGGGCCUUUGACACCAUCCAUCCUUAAUUGUAGAGGUCUGGAAGUGCUAGAUCUUGGUAACAACAAGAUCAAUGAUACAUUUCCUCAUUGGUUGGGAAAUCUUCCAUAUUUGCAAGUUCUUGUAUUGAAGUCAAAUCAUAUGCAUGGUUCUUUGCGUGUCAAUAGCUCCAAGUCUAGCCCCUUUUUCUCUAAAAUCCAAAUUUUUGACCUCUCAAGUAAUUAUUUUUCUGGACCCCUACCUGUGAGGUACAUCAACAGCUUCAAGGCUAUCAGAAAUCUAGAGAAGAUUCGUAGUACAGUGUCGUACAUGGGGGUGAAUGGUCGGAAUGGUAGUGGCUUCUAUACCUAUUCCAUUGGAAUUGUUAUGAAAGGACAAGAUAUGGAAUUGGUGAAAAUUUUCACCAUGUGGAUGAUCAUUGAUCUAUCAAACAAUCAGUUUGAAGGGGGUAUUCCAGAGGUUUUUGGAAAGCUUAACUUACUGAAAGGGCUCAACCUUUCUCAUAAUAACCUUAGUGGUGGUAUCCCCACCUCAAUAGGGAAUUUGACAAGUCUUGAAUGGUUGGACCUAUCUUCAAACAGGUUGUCUGGGACGAUUCCAAAUAGAUUGGCAGAUCUGGCAUUUCUUUCGUCCUUCAAUGUUUCUGAAAAUCAACUCCAUGGUCAGAUUCCUCAAGGAA
This 67001-nucleotide long non-coding RNA is filed under the name Gossypium barbadense (sea-island cotton). RNAcentral describes it as "long non-coding RNA (GBAR_LNC016765)". Lineage: Eukaryota; Viridiplantae; Streptophyta; Magnoliopsida; Malvales; Malvaceae. The record is from RNAcentral.